AACAAGCAUCAGUUCAGGCAGCGCAGUGACACAGUUCGAGAAAUUCAGCUUUGUUCUUUCAGUAUCACAACUUUGCAAGUCCACUAGUACCACAAAUCAGCCUCCACUCUCCAGCAGCGCAGCAAGACCAAGAAGAAAAGAAGAUAUGGCUGGUCCGGCGAAGGCGUCGUGGAUGGUGGCCAUGAGCGUCAUGUACCUCAGCUGCUGGGGCCCAAAUUAGCAGCUGCCUACAUGGUACUAGUUAGGCGUGUCAGUGUUUGCUGCAACAACCAUGGCCUAUCUGGUUGGCCUUCCGUGGAAUCCCCCAUUGUAAAAUACCACGAUGAUGAUGAUGAAAAAUGCUGUUAUUUGAGCCAAUGUUUAUUUGCUUAUUUAUUAUCUUGUGAGGAAUAUGCAUACAUGCUCUGAUUUGGUUUCUACAUGCUCUGAUUUGGUUUCUACUUGCAACCCAAACAGAAGUUACACAACACUUGACAAAUCGUAGCCAAUUGUAACGGUCACCGAAUCAAGGACCUAGUGGCAGCACACUGAAUAGGUUUAGAUCCAUUUUUCAGUGUCCAACAAGAGGAUUUGGGGAUACAGGGACAGCAAGAAGAGGAGAGCAUGCGAGUUCUAUCUUAGUUCUGAAUAUCAAUCUUCAGUUAGUGCAGUGGCCCAGCCGACGGGCUCGACACAAACGUGCUGAAUUUCUUCAGUCUGCGGCACUUCGUUAAAGUGACACACGCGAUGAAUCCUCGUAUCUGUACUCAAGGUGUCAUCAAGCAACCAAUCCAUUUAUAGUACUUAUCAGUUUUGUUGGUGGACCUGCCUUCGGUUGCUUUGUUAGUACAAAGCGAGACCAAACGAGAAGUACUUCGGAUUGGUUGAAAGUACUUUCUUUUUUCUUCUUUUUUGCGCAUAGGUUGAAGAAAGUACUUUCUUUUUUCUUCUUUUUUGCGCAUAGGUUGAAGAAAGUACUUUCUUUUUUCUUCUUUUUUGCGCAUAGGUUGAAGAAAGUACUUUCUUUCUUCUUCUUUUUUGCGCAUAGGUUGAAGAAAGUACUUUCUGUGGCUCCAGUCGACCUGAUAUGCGACGAGGUCGAACGAAUAUAUUUUGAAUUUCUUUGUUGUAUAUUCGCUAAACUGACAGAGUAGUAAUUAAUUCAACUAAACAUGAUACAACUCUAGGUUAGACCACAUGUCCACAUUAAUAAAUAAACGUGCUUUCUGAUCACAGCUAUCACAGAGUGAGGCACGUCAAAGUUACUCCGUAAGGUUCCACUGAAAGAACAAGUGUUUUAUUGUUUUAUCAUCUAUAUCUAUACCAAUAUUAAAAGACCCAAACGGGCAGAUUUAAUUAAUCUUAUCCAUUAAAUCAUGUCAAUCCAACGACCUAGACUGCUUUAAUGUCGAGCGCUUAACAUGUUUAGCAUGUACUCCCUCAUUAAACUAAUAUAAGAGUGUUUAGAUCACUAUUCUAGUUUAUGGAGGGAGUAGUUAAUUUCAUGCCAAAAAUAGUGAUAAUCACGUAAUACCACGCAAAUAAUAUCUUACUUAAUAUCCGCAUGCACUUAAUAUACUUGCAAAUUAACGUGCAUUGCACGUACACAUUGACUAGUGAUGACAAAAGACACAUUACGUAUUUCCAUUCAAAUUCCUCUUAAUAACGUUAUCUUUGGUAAGAAUGACUCCUCGACGAAGAUAGCACGCAAAGAUUUUAUUCUUAAGCGGUAUCUUUAUCUUCAAUAUCUUCUUCUUAUUAUUAUCAACUGGCACAUCAGAUUUGAUCAACGCUCUAUACACUGAAUCUUCCGAGAAUUUCCCACUCCAUUUAGAUUCCACAGAAAUUCAUCGACUCCAUGUGAUAAAUGUACCGUAGCGAGACGAUUUAUCAAAUCAUCCACCAUGCAAGUCUGGGGCCUAUUAAAUCUCGUCCGAACGUCAUAUUCAGAGGAAAGGAUUCCAGAACAGAAGUUACUUCCAAUUAAUAAGCUGAUCGAUAUAAGAUAAAAAAAAUACUUACAACUAAGAUAAACAAAUUAUCCUCCAGAAACUUGUACUAAGAUAUUUGUUAGCCGCUUAUAUUAUAGAACUCUGUAGAAAAAUAUUAAAAGGUAAUAAAAUAUACGCAUAAAUAAAAUUAUUUUAUAUAUGAAUGCUCAUCUAUUGUAAAUGGUGUACUCUCUCCAAUAAAGAAUAAGUGUCUUAAAGUAGAACUACGACUCUUAUUUUGGAUCGGAAGGAGUAUCAAUUUAAAACAAAUUAUGUAUAGUAAAUUUGAUAUAUAAAAUAAUAAAAGUGUUUGGUAUAAAUAAGUUAUAACUAUUGGCGGAACCAAAGGUUUACCAGAGUGAUGGGCGACGGCAUUGCUAGAUUAGUUUGUUCCCAUUGGUCACUCUUAUGCCUAGGAGUUUGGUUCCCCCGAACCGUUCGAGUUGUUAAUUCGGUGUUUAGAAAAAUUUCGUUGUGCAGAAUCACGCACUGAUCGGUUAAUGGGGAAAGCACUGACCGAUGUUUUUGUGCAUUGUGAGUUUGGGCCAAUAAUCGGUCCUAACCGAACAACACCGAUCAUUUAAUAAUACCAGGAAAAAGUAUACAAUUUCCUCAUUUUUGGCUGAACAAAGGCUUAGGCUACAGUUUUCUCAUGUCAAAACCACAUCACCAAAUUAAAUAAGUUAUUUACUGUUUUCUAAGCAAACCACACCACCAACUUAGGUGCAAUUGAAUCAAGUUAAUCAGGACAUAAGUUAGAGUGGGAAACAAAGUUUAAGUUCGUCAGGUGCGGAGUAUCAGCAGGCGGCUGCGCAGACCAUGUAUUAUAUUUUAUACUAUCUUUUAUGAAAUAUAUAUUUUGCUCCAUCAAUUUUCAAAGUAUAAAACAAAAAUGUUGAAAAAUUCUGGUCUCCCAACUGUCAAAUUGUCCAGAGUUGCAUUUUAUCUAUUUGUUGUCUUACCAUAAAGUUGAAACGAUAAAUUUGCAUGCAUGAAAUUAAACUCAUAUUAUUCCUGACGAAAAAAAUAUGAUUCCUAACUAUUGUCAAAGCCAAAUUUGGCUUCGCAUAUUCAACACAAAAAAAAAUCUUUGUCUAUCAAGUGUUAAAACCGUCGAAAUUUUUAUUUCGUCCCAUUGAAAAGGAUUUUGACAAUGUUGUGGCAAUGGUUUUGCAUUCAUAUCACCAUAGUUUUUUUAUAUAGUUUGGGAAAGAUAUGAUAAUAGAAUAGUGUAACAUUAGAAAAAAUCGAAGCAACUAGAAAGAAAAGUAGGGAAAAACAAGUCAAAAUUUCAGACAAUUGACAAGCAAUAUGUUUAUUUUAGGAAUUUGCAAGUCUAUAUAAAAUAACAAUGGAAAUGAAGAACUUCGUGAAAAAUCGGUAAAACUGAAGGAACCUGCGAACAAUCUGGAAUAUAUCAAAAUUUAUUAAACCUAAAAUCAAUUUAAAAUGUGAAGAAUUAUGUUUCUUGAAAAAAUAAAUAUUUUGAAUUUUAUCAGAUUCCGUCAUUUUUAGAAUAUUUGUGAUAAUUACUCAAUUUCAAAAUUCCUAAAAUAUUACUUUGAUUUUUAUGUUUUUCUAAAAGUAUUUUAAUUUCCCCACUUUAUUCAUGCUGUUUUCCAAGUGUUUGAGGUGCUGCUUUCCAUGUUUAUUUGCACACUUAGCUAAACCAUGUGCAAAACUCGGGAAGAUGAGAAAUUAGAAAAGUUAAUAUUGAAAAAGCGCACGCAACUAGAAAGUAAAACUUGGGGAAAACAAGUCAAAAUUCCAUACAUUUAGUGAACAAUAUGUUUAUGAUAGGAAUUUGCAGGCCUAUAAAAAUGAUCAAAAUUGAAGGAAUUUAGACACUUAGCUACGACAUGUGCAAACCACCUCUAUGGCAACUUCAAAACCGCUUUCUAUGAAGCAGUUAAACUAUUUUCGACAAACUUGACGUUUGAUGGACAAAAAGAAAUUUGGACUAUACUUAGAGCAUCUACAGCCGCAAACACUAAAUCCGGCCCCUCAAACGACUGCGGACGUGCAUGGGUGCGUUCGUGGGCAGUGAUUAGGCAGCCCUCAAAUUUCCUUCUCUGCACCCGAAUAUCUCAUAUUUAAAACCUUAAAUACAUACCAAGUAUGCAAAACGAAAACUUGCGCACUACGUAGAUCAACUAAAUCCUACACUAUCCUAAUCCUUGUCGUCGGAGAUGUCCACGAUCUUCAUGCCAGGCAACGGGUACAUAGGCGGCAGCUGCAACUCCGUCUCCCGUGCGUCGACCUCCACCUCUAGUUUGACAGAAAGCAUGUCGGUCUUUGCUUGUUUCUGCCGGAUGAAGCGCCGGUUGGCAUCCACAUCGGACUCCAGGAUGGUGGUAUGCUCCGCCAUCUAUGUUGCUUGGGCGAUCUCGAACUCCGCCAUGGCGCCUUCCAUGACAAAGCCCGCAACCAGCUUCAGCUCCGCCGCGUACUCCUCCGGCCCAUCCGGAUCCGUCCCCACCAUGGGUCUGGCUGCUGCUCCUCCUCCGGAUCCGGCGAGUCCAGAGGUAGGCCGGUUGCGAGCCGGGCGACGUGCCUAGCCCAAAUCCCCUCGAGCAGCUAGAAAUGCCGCUCCGGAGUUAGCAUAGUGUAUGUGGUUUUUUUCUUCUGCCGGGUCAUGGGGAGACAGACGGCGAGGGAAAAGAGAGGCGGAGAGGGAGAGAAGUGGAUGGGCUCGGGCUGUCGGCACGGAGAGGGAGGAAGCGGAUGUGGCUAGGGCUGCGAGACCUUUGAACAGCUUAAAUAGCAGGAUUUUGGCCCUCUCGCAGCGAGCCGGAGCGGCGCCAUGCGACAUUCACACCCCCACCGAAGGAGACGCAUGUUGGACCGUCGGGUUUCCGGACAAUUACAUGUGGGACCCGAUCGUCAGUUCGACACGGCGACCGUGUCCUGGCCGCCCCAUACCUGCUCCAGAAUUGGUCCGAAUAUGAGAGAAUGCCGGUCAGCCUGGGCAUUUGACAUCGGUUUGAGGCAUCCGAGUGGGUUGGAUUUUUUUGAUCCGGUCAGUGACCGGGACGCCAGCCGGACGCUUGAGACAGUUUUGAGGGACCAUAGAGGCUCUUGGUCGAGUGACCAUGGAUGCUAUUUGUAAGACGAUUACUUUUUAUUCUCGCAAUAAAAUUUGAUUCUGCUCACUGAAUAUUGACACACGUUAUCUAUGCCUCAUUCCGAUCUUAUUUCUGUCGGCGUGUGUCAAAGCGAAACUCUCGCAAUGGACAAAAACCGCUACUUCCACGGCAAAUAAACAAAACGACACGGCAGCGAUAGGUGUGACGUGCACAAGCAGAGUAGCAGCAGAGUGACCCCUCCGAAAGCACCCGGUAUCCCUGAAAACCAACGUCCGCGACCACUGUUUUGCUGCAGACAUCCCAAGCCUCCCUCCUGUAUAUAACCUCGUUCCAAUCCCACUCUUCCUCUCAUCAACAAAUUACACAAGCAUCAAUCAGCCUUCAGCUCAAAAUUCAUUCCAUACUCCACACUCGACUGCUAGCUACCAAUCUCCAGGCAUCACAUAGUUCGGACGGAUCAAGCAGUUGUACUGCCUCCACCAACGCAGAGAAAGAUCAUGGCGGGUGCGGCGAAGGCGUCUUGGAUGGUGGCGAUGAGCGUGGGCGCCGUGGAGGCCCUCAAGGAUCAGGCUGGACUCUGCCGCUGGAACUACGCGCUCAGGUCCAUCCACCGGACUGCCAAGGCCAGGGCCAACGUCCACGGCGCCGUCUCUCAAGGCUCCAAGCAGCUUCCGGCCUCCGCCGCAGCCGUGGCGGAGAAGCAGCGAGCCGAGAAGGCCGAGGAAGGGCUGAGGACGGUGAUGUACCUCAGCUGCUGGGGGCCAAAUUAGCAGCUGCAGCUUGGUACAGCAGCUGCAGCUUGGUACUAGCUAGGCGUGUUAGUGUUUGCUGCAACAACCAUGGCCUGAAAUCUGUCUGGCUUCCCGUGGAAUCCCCCGUUGCAAAAUACCACCACAAUGAUGAUGAUGAAAAAUGAUGUUACUUGAGCCCAUGUCUAUUUGCUUAUUUAUGAUCUUGGUGAGGAAUAUGCAUACAUGCUCUGAUUUGGUGUCUGCUUACAACCCAGCAAAUUGUGACGGUCAACGGGUCAAGGACCUAGUGGCAGGACACUGAGUAGGGUCAGAUCAAAUUUUCAGUGUCCAACAAGAGGAUUUGGGGAUACAGGGACAGCAAGAAGAGGAGAGCAAGUGAGUUCUAUCUCAGUUCUGAAUACCAAUCUUCAGUUACAUACAGUAGGCAUCAGCCUCCAACCUGGACACGGCCACCUCACGCACACGCAACACAAUGAUUUGCUAAGCAGGCUGGGUUGUCUCCGUUUCCCUUCGAUCUUUAGUUAAUACAGUGGCCCGGCCCACGGGCGCGACACAAACAUGCUGAAUUUCUUCCAUCUGCGGCACUUUGUUAAAGUGACACACGCGAUGAAUCCUCGUAUCUGUGCUCAAGGUGUCAUCAAUCAACCAAUCUAUUUACUGUACUUAUAACUUAUAAGUUUUGUUGGUGGACCUGUCUUCGGUUGCUUUGUUACUCCAAAACGAGACCAAACGAGAAGUACUUUGAAUUAGGUCAUGGCGAAUAUGUUCUGAAUUUCUCCGUUGUAUAUUCGCUAAACUGACACAAUAGAAACAUGAUACCUCUUCAGGUUAGACCACAUUAAUAAGUAUCACAGAGGGAGGCACAUCAAAGUUACUCCGUAUCUUGAACUAAAAAAAGUUACUCCGUAUCUUUCUACCAGCAAUUUUGGAUUUUUCCCUAGGGCCAUGAAACCAAAAGAGAAGAAAAAUAAAUAAAAUCAGACUUUCAGAUAAUAGGUACAAUCGGCUGCACAGUAGUUCCUUCCAAUUAAUUAAGCUGAUUGAUAACUAACUGUCCUUGGCUCGGGCCAGUGCCGCGGAAGUUCUGCUUCCCGUCUCUCUUCAAACACUCGAGGCGUAAGGGCAGAACUGUGGCACAAGCUAUCACUGACGACCGCUGGGUCUUGGACCUUGCACACGGCAACAACAGCAACCUUGUCAGCGAGGUUCUUGAUCUGCAUCGUCUCAUUCAGCGCCGGCAGCUCAACUUCCAGGCCGAAGAUCAGGACCAGAUCCGCUGGAACUUGGAGGGAUCAGGUCAGUACAGCUCCCGCUCGGCCUACGCCCUCCAGUUCUUGGGCUCGACGACGGGCAUGUUCCAGGCCAUGAUCUGGGCCAUCUGGGCUCCGGCGAAGCUUAAGAUGUUUGCGUGGCUCCUCCACCAGAACCGGCUGUGGUGCAAUGACCGUCUCCAACGUAGGGGCUGGCCAAACUCCUACUUUUGCCAGCUCUGCCUCAGGAACCUGGAGACCUCGGCUCAUCUGUUCUGGAGCUGCCCGUUCACGAAGACAGUAUGGACUAGCUUGUCCUCUUGGCAGCACUGCCAGGGGCUAAGUAAGGCGUGUCUGCCCAACGAAUGCAGCUCCCUGGAAAAGGUCGAAGCCAUGGUUUCAGCAACAGGGCCAGCACAUGCGAAAGGAAUCAAGUCGCUGAUCAUGCUGGUGCUUUGGAAAAUCUGGCAAGAGCGCAACAACCGCGUUUUCAGAAAGAAAGAGGCUACGGUGCAAGCGGUGAUCAAUGACAUCAGGAGAGAGCUCUGUCUUUGGCAACAGGGCGGUUUCAAAUCCAUUCUGAGCCCCUUCGGGGAUCCUCCAUGAGAUAGUAGUCUUAGAUCCGGGUGCCUCAGGCACCAAGGCUUUUUCCUUCUUUUUGUUUACCUCCUUGAUCCCAGGAUCAUCGCCUUUGUCACUUUGUCAUCUGCUCCCUGCUUAACCAAUGAAACCCCAGCCAUGGCUGGCUCGUUCAAAAAAAAAACUAACUGUCCUCCACAAAGCUUUACUAAGAUAUUUGUUAGCCGCUUAUGUUAUAGAACUCUAUAGCAAGAUAUUCAAAGAUAAUAAACUAGACACAUAAAUAAAAUUAUGUUGUAUAUGAAUGUUCAUCUAAUUUUCCUCUUAUAUGGAUGGAAUUUAACUUACUUAAAAGUCCCAAACAUAUUUGGAAAAAAUAAUAGAAGUUUUACAACAAAUUGGAGUUGCUUUGUCAUUAUAGUAAUCUCAAUAGUUUUUUUAUAAUAUUUAACUCUAAGUUACUACUUGGGGUUCAUGUUGUUAGGUAUAGUAGACAUUUUUUUUGUAAAUGUUGUACUCUCUCCUAUCAAACAUAAGUGUCUUAAAAUAAAACUAUGACACUUAUUUUGGAUCGGAAGGAGUAUCAAUUUAAAAUAAAAUUAUAUAUAGUAAAUUUGAUAUAUAAAAUAAAUAAAGUAUUUGGUAUAAGUAAGUUAUCUGGCGGACGACGAGGAUGCUAGCCAUGACGGCUGCGUCCCGGCGGACGACGAGGUUGGUGCCGCCCAUGGUGGCUGCAUCUCGGCGAACGACGAGGUUUGUGCCGCCCAUGGUGGAGGACCGGGCGGAAGUGGAGGCCGACCAGAUGGAGGGGGUGGUGGUUGCUACCUCUUGAGCAUGCGUUGGUUUUCCCUUGAAGAGGAAAGGGUGAUGCAGUAAAGUAGCGUAAGUAUUUCCCUCAGUUUUUGAGAACCAAGGUAUCAAUCCAGUAGGAGGCCACAUGCAAGUCCCUCGUACCUACACAAACAAAUAAAAACCUUGCAACCAACACGAUAAAGGGGUUGUCAAUCCCUUCACGGCCACUUGCAAAAGUGAGAUCUGAUAGAGAUGAUAAGAUAAUAUUUUUGGUAUUUUUAUGAUAAAAAUUAAAAGUAAAGAUUGCAAAAUAAACGGCGACAGAAAUAGCUAGUUGACAGGAGAUUAAUAUGAUGGAAAAUAGACCCGGGGGCCAUAGGUUUCACUAGUGGCUUCUCUCAAGAUAGUAUAAGUAUUACGGUGGGUGAACAAAUUACUGUCGAGCAAUUGAUAGAAAAGUGCAUAAUUAUGAGAAUAUCUAGGCAUGAUCAUGUAUAUAGGCAUCACGUCCGCAACAAGUAGACCGACUCCUGCCUGCAUCUACUACUAUUACUCCACACAUCGACCGCUAUCCAACAUGCAUCUAGAGUAUUAAGUUCAUAAGAACAGAGUAACGCAUUAGGCAAGAUGACAUGAUGUAGAGGGAUAAACUCAAGCAAUAUGAUAUAAACCCCAUCUUUUUAUCCUCGAUGGCAAUAAUACAAUACGUGUCGUUUCCCCUUCUGUCACUGGGAUCGAGCAACGCAAGAUUGAACCCAAAGCUAAGCACUUCUCCCAUUGCAAGAAAGAUCAAUCUAGUAGGCCAAACCAAACUGAUAAUUCAAAGAGACUUGCAAAGAUAACCAAUCAUACAUAAAAGAAUUCAGAGAAGAUUCAAAUAUUGUUCAUAGAUAAUCUUGAUCAUAAACCCACAAUUCAUUGGAUCUCGACAAACACACCGCAAAAAGAGUUACAUCGAAUAGAUCUCCAAGAAGAUCGAGGAGAACUUUGUAUUGAGAUCCAAAUAGAGAGAAGGACCCAUCUAGCUAAUAACUAUGGACCCGAAGUUCUGUGGUAAACUACUCACACAUCAUCGGAGAGGCUAUGGUGUUGGUGUAGAAGCCCUCCGUGAUCGAUUCCCCCUCCGGCGGAGUGCCGGAAAAGGCCCCAAGAUGGGAUCUCGCGGGUACAGAAGGUUGCGGCGGUGGAAAUAGGGUUUCAUGGUGCUCCUCGAUGGUUUCGGGGUACAUGGGUAUAUAUAGGAGGAAGAUGUAGGUCGGUGGAGCCACGAGGGGCCCACGAGGGUGGGGGCGCGCCCGGGGGGGGGGAGGGAGGUGCGCCUCCCUGCCUCGUGGCCUCCUCGUUGAUUUCUUGACGUCCACUCCAAGUCCUCUGGAUCACGUUUGUUCCAAAAAUCACACUCCCGAAGGUUUCAUUCCGUUUGGACCUGCUUGGUAUUCCUUUUCCGCGAAACACUGAAAUAGACAAAAAAACAGCAAUUUGCACUGGGCCUUGGUUUAGUAGGUUAGUCCCAAAAAUAAUAUAAAAGUGUAUAAUAAAGUCCAUUAAAUAUCCAAAACAGAAUAUAUAAUAGCAUGGAGCAAUAAAAAAUUAUAGAUACGUUGGAGACGUAUCAGUGGUGUCGCGCCGUGCGCCAGCGUUGGGUGAUCGAUAAGACCCAAAGACGAAGACGGUGGCGUCGGGCCGUGCGAAACCAGAGGCAUCGGGCGCGCGUCAGUGCCGCAUGAUGAUGGUGAUGGCAUGCCAUAGGGAUGGUCAUUCGGCGCUGGGGCCGUCUGGCUGUGGUGGUGAACCUGCGGUGGUCGGCCUGUCUUGCCGUGCUGGUUGUGCGGUGUGUUGGAAAUAUGCCCUAGAGGCAAUAAUAAAUGGUUAUUAUUAUAUUUCUUUGUUCAUGAUAAUAGUCUAUUGUUCAUGCUAUAAUUGUAUUAUCCGGAAAUCGUAAUACAUGUGUGAAUACAUAGACCACAAUAUGUCCCUAGUAAGCCUCUAGUUGACUAGCUCGUUGAUCAACAGAUAGUCAUGGUUUCCUGACUAUGGACAUUGGAUGUCAUUGAUAACGGGAUCACAUCAUUAGGAGAAUGAUGUGAUGGACAAGACCCAAUCCUAAGCAUAGCAUAAAAGAUCGUGUAGUUUCGUUUGCUAGAGCUUUUCCAAUGUCAAGUAUCUUUUCCUUAGACCAUGAGAUCGUGCAAGUCCCGGAUACCGUAGGAGUGCUUUGGGUGUGCCAAACGUCACAACGUAACUGGGUGACUAUAAAGGUGCACUACGGGUAUCUCCGAAAGUGUCUGUUGGGUUGGCACGGAUCGAGACUGGGAUUUGUCACUCCGUGUGACGGAGAGGUAUCUCUGGGCCCACUCGGUAAUGCAUCAUCAUAAUGAGCUCAAUGUGACUAAGGCGUUAGUCACGGGAUCAUGCAUUGCGGUACGAGUAAAGAGACUUGCCGGUAACGAGAUUGAACAAGGUAUUGGGAUACCGACGACCGAAUCUCGGGCAAGUAACAUACCGAUUGACAAAGGGAAUUGCAUACUGAUUGAUUGAAUCCUCGACACCGUGGUUCAUCCGAUGAGAUCAUCGUGGAACAUGUGGGAGCCAACAUGGGUAUCCAGAUCCCGCUGUUGGUUAUUGACCAGAGAGGCGUCUCGGUCAUGUCUGCAUGUCUCCCGAACCCGUAGGGUCUACACACUUAAGGUUCGGUGACGCUAGGGUUGUAGAGAUAUAUGUAUGCGGAAACCCGAAAGUUAAGUUGUUCGGAGUCCCGGAUGAGAUCCCGGACGUCACGAGAGGUUCCGGAAUGGUCCGGAGGUGAAGAAUUAUAUAUAGGAAGUCAAGUUUCGGCCACCGGGAAAGUUUCGGGGGUUACCGGUAUUGUACCGGGACCACCGGAAGGGUCCCGGGGUCCACGGGGUGGGGCCACCUAUCCCGGAGGGCCCCGUGGGCUGAAAGUGGAAGGGAACCAGCCCUUAGUGGGCUGGGGCGCCCCCCUUGGGCCUCCCCCCAUGCGCCUAGGGUUGGGAACCCUAGGGGGGGAGCUUCCCCCUUGCCUUGGGGGGCAAGGCAACACUUUCCCCUCUUUGGCCGCCGCCCCCCCUUGGAGAUCCCAUCUCCCUGGGCCGGCGCCCCCAGGGGGCCUAUAUAAAGGGGGGGGGAGGGAGGGCAGCAACCUACAGCCUUGGGCGCCUCCCUCCUCCCCUGCAACACCUCUCUCUCUCUCGCAGAAGCUCGGCGAAGCCCUGCCGGAGAACCGCUACAUCCACCACCACGCCGUCGUGCUGCUGGAUCUCCAUCAACCUCUCCUUCCCCCUUGCUGGAUCAAGAAGGAGGAGACGUCGCUGCACCGUACGUGUGUUGAACGCGGAGGUGCCGUCCGUUCGGCACUCGGUCAUCGGUGAUUUGGAUCACGGCGAGUACGACUCCGUCAUCCACGUUCAUUGGAACGCUUCCGCUCGCGAUCUACAAGGGUAUGUAGAUGCACUCCCUUCCCCUCGUUGCUAGUAUACUCCAUAGAUGCAUCUUGGUGAACGUAGGAAAAUUUUAAAAUUAUGCUACGAUUCCCAACACGGUGGUCGGCCCGUUUGGAUGUGGCGUUGAGGGUGCUGAGAGUUGGGGGGAAACGACUGACCAUGGUGGUGGAGGAGGCCGUGGUCCUGACCGUACUGAAAGCGAGGGGCAGGUUGAAUCUGUGGUCGGAGAAGAGAAGGCGGUGCCAGAAGGAUUUGGUCCUGAAAGUGUUGGGCCGGGAGAAUCGGCGGCGCGGGCAGGAAGUUGGGACAAAGGUGAUCAGGGUGGACGCGUGGGGACGCGGCAGCAGCAUAGGACUGCCAGUGGCCGCCACAUGGCUGCCGGUGUGGGAGGGAAAGCUCGGAGCAUCGUAAGAUUUUGGGAAGGGGUUUUCUGAAUGGAUCCCCACCCCACAAAGGUGGAGGCGUCUUUGAAGCGUUCGGGGUGCGGGUGCAUGGAGCCAGACAGUAUAGCGAGCGAACUGCGAGGUGAAAAGCCUGACUACUUUUUCCUUUUCUUUUGGGGAGGGUAAAAGCAUUGCUAACAGUGGAUGCUAUCUUCUCCUAUCACUCUGUCUGUACUCGGUUUUUACCGUACAUCCUUCAAAGUACAUCCCUGUAUAUAACCUCCUCUUAGGGGGCGUUUGGUUUACAGGCUAUUCACCAUAGGGACAGGGAUAGACAAUUUUUUAGGGGAUAUCACUUGUUUGGUUUACUAGCCAGGAGGGAUAGGGAUAACCAGAUACUAGCGAAUAUUCCUUCAAAACGUGGUUGACGGGAGUCACGAGAUUAUGGCGGAUGAGGGCAGCCACCCGCGCUUGCGUGAAACGUUUUCCCAUGCGCGCCCUCUGUCGCGUGUCCGUGGCAAUCGGCCCGGCGGCGCUCUCGGAUGCCUCCGCCGCUGGCACACCACAGCCCACGCCGGCGCCCUGCUUGGCCGUCGGCCAAGGCCCUGCUCCUCGAGACGAGGCGAGCCGCGGGUGCUCCAUCCUUUCCAGGCAACUCGCCUCCCACUCUCGGCCAUGGCCCCUACCUCCAUCAACCCCCCUCUCUCGGCCUGUUGUGACCGUGGCUGGCGGGGAACGGGGAGCUCCGGCGGCUGGGAACGAGGAUCACUUGAGAUCUUCCAGCGGACACAUGUGACGCAGAUGGGGAGACCUCUGGUGGUGGGGAACAAGGAGAUCUCCUGUGGUUUGGAACGAGGAGAGCUUGCCUAUCUGUUGUCUAUAUGUAUGUGACAGUCUUUCAACUCUCCCGUUUUCUCGACAGGUAGCACAUAUGAACACUACUGAUUUAAUAGUAUGGACAAUCACCUGUAUGAUUGUACAAAGAAGAACAUGUAUACAUGUAUGAAUAUUUGGUAAAAAAAUUCGACAAAGGGUGGAUUUUAUUAACUCAAAAUGAAGGAUCAAGGGGAUACAAACACAUUGAGCACACACCCGGCCUCUGCAUAACCAGGAUGCACACAGCCAACACCAACACACACAAAAGAGAAAAAAAACGCCAGCAAAGAGCAAAGUCAUACAAGACUCAAGCUAUGCCUAAGCGAGGGAAAAGAAAAAGGAAAAAACACUCUGAAACGAUCAAAACAACGGUUGAUAAACUACAUCAACGACCAUAUCCGCACCAACCAUCUCUUGACAGAACAAGCGCAACGAGAAAGUUUCUUCAACAGCAACGCCUUCAGGAAGGAAACGACGCUUAAACGUCGCCGUCACUGGACCCGACCAACAAAGGUCAGACUCUAGGUUUUCACCCCGAAGAACAAGUCUGAGCACAUCCGAGCAAUGCCUUCAUCAAGGUAACGACGCAAAAACAUCGGCAUCGCCAGGUAUAACCAAUUCAGGCCAGACCUAGGGUUUUCACCCCGGAACUCGAGACCGGGUACUCGAGAAGCACCACCAAAUCAAAGUCAUCAUGUUGUCGCCACCACUUUCCGCGAUCCCAGCAGCUAAAGGUGAGGCACAGUCUUUACAUGCCGGCAUGGCUUGCCGCUGCACAACCAUCUCCUCUGCGUCAAGCCGUCGUCCAUAGAAUUUAUCUCACCGCUGAAUGCAAACUGGCCGGAUUGAGAGCCACCGAAACUCCCAAUGGAGCCUUCCGGUUACAUCACACAACCUCGCCAGUGCGAGCUGCUGGCAAUAACCAAUGGAUCCUAAGAAAAAACUCUCAUGAAGACCCUUGAAUGGCCACUGCAAUCUGCGGCUCGAGUGGCCGGACGGUGCCGCCAUGGUCAGGAUGAAAAUUGCCCCCUCGCAUCGAUCGGACGAACCACCUGCGGCCAAGUGACAAGCAUCGGUCAACCGAUGUAAGUCCCAAGGCGCCACCACCAACCUCCUUCGGCCUUGUGAUCUGUCGGCGGCAACAGCGGCGAGCGUCUUGGGUCGCUUGGGAAGAUGACCCUUAUCACCAACGCUGCCAUGCUCUGGACAGCCGGAGGAAGCUUCGGUCCGAACCUGCAUGAUCUUGACCGCAGGCUGCUGGAGGAGAAUGGAUGGUCAUCUCCACCCAGGCCAUUGCCAAGGCAUCACUAUGCUGCCCAGUUCAGAUUCCCAGAUCGCUCUAGCCAUUGACCUAUGCAUGUCCCUGUGCACAGAUCGCCUGCCGCUGCAUGUCCAUGCGCAGAUCGCUCUAGCCUUCGGACGUUGCAUGAAGAUCGCUGCUGAGUUGUUGUUCACCUCGCGCGCCGUUCAGCGCCUUGCGUAGAAGCCAUCGCCCGGAGCCCCGCUGCCGCCGUCAGCCACACAGGCUUUGCUCGGCAGCGUCGUUCGGCGGCGGCGAGGGAAGCGAGAGAGGUGGGGAGGUCCCGAAGAAACAUGAAUAUUUGGUAAAUAGUGACCAGUUCAUGGUAUUUGAUUGUAUGGACAGUCACGUGUAUGAUUGUACAAAGAACAUGUAUACACGUAUUUGAUUGUGCAAAGAGGAACAUGUAUAUAUGUAUUUGAUAUACAAAGAAGAGCAUGUAUUAAUAUUGCGUUGUAGAAGAACAUAAAAAAAUAACUAAUGACUAUCCAUAUCCACCUUUUAUCCUUGCAACCAAACAAUAAAAAGCGGUUAUCCAUCUCAUCUAAUCUUUCGCAACCAAACGACAAAAACUGGCUAUCCCCAACCAGGUGGUUAAGGAUAUCCUCAGCCAAGCCAACCUCGCCCGUGAACCAAACGCCACCUUAGUCCCACUCUUACUCUCGUCAACACAAGCAUCAAUCACCCUUCAGCUCAGUACAUUCACAACCACAAAGCCUGCGCUCUACACUCGACUAGUAGCUACUAAUCUUCAGUCAUCACCUAGUCUAGAAUCAACAGAUCAGUCAGCGGUGCUGUCUCCACCAACACAGAGAGGGAUCAUGCCGGGUGCGGCAAAGGCGUCUUGGAUGGUGGUGAUGAGCGUUGGCGCGGUGGAGGCGCUCAAGGAUUAGGCCGGCCUCUGCCGGUGGAACUACGCGCUUAGGUCCAUCCACUUGGUAGCGAAGGCGAGGGCCAACAUCCGCGGCGGCGUCUCCCAGGGCGGCAAGAAGCUUCCAACCUCUGUGGCGGCGGUGGCGGAGAGGCGGCGAGUGGAGAAGGAUGAGAAGGGGCUGAGGACGCUGAUGUAGCUCAGCUGCCGGGGUCCCAAUUAGCAGCUGCAACUUGGUAGUUGCUACUACCUAGGCGCGUCUGUGUUUGCUGUAACAACGAUGGCCUGAAACAUGUCUGGCUUCCCGUGGAAUCCCCCAUUGUAAAAUACCACCAUAAUGAUGAUGAUGGUGAUGAAUGAUGUUACUUGAGCUCCAUGUCUAUUUGCUUAGUUAUUAUCUUGGUGAGGAAUAUGCAUCCAUGCUCUGAUUUGGUGUCUGCUUACAACUCAGAAAGAACUUACAGCUACACUUAAACAACAAAUCAUAGCAAAUUGUAACGUUCAAUGGGUCAAGAGCCUAGUGGCAGCACACUGAAUAGGUUCAGAUCAAUUUUUCAGUGUCCAACAGGAGGAUUUGGGGUUGGGGAUACAUGGACAUCAAGAAGAGGAGAGGAGAUGCAUUCCCGGAUCCAGACCAAUCUUUAGUUACAUCAGCCUCCUACCUGGAUACAGCCAACUCAUGCACACGCAACACCACCCUUUGCUAAACAUGUCGGGCUGUCUCGGUUCCCCUUUGAUCUUCAGUUAAUGCAGUGGCCCGCCCCACAGGCUCGACACAAACAUGCUGAAUUUCUUCAGUAUGCGGCACAGGCGAUGAAUCCUCGUAUCUAUACUCAAGGUGUCAUCAAGCAACCAAUCCAUUUACAGUACUUAUCAGUUUUGUUGGUGAACCUGUCUUCGGUUGCUUUGUUAGUCCGAAACAAGACCAAACGAGAAGCACUUCGAAUUGGUUGAAAGUACUUUCUUUCUUCUUCUUUUUCGCGCAUAGUUUGAAGAAAGUACUUUCUGUGGCUCUAGUCGACCUGAUGCGCGACGAGGUCGAAUGAAUAUAUUUUGAAUUUCUUUGCUGUAUACUUUAUUCGCUAAGCUGAUACAGUAGUAAUCACUGUCCAAAAAAUCUUCCGAUUCAGCGAUUUAUCGUCCGAUUUAUCGCUACUCUUGGGGUGACCGAUAAGAUUAUGCCUUAUCUUCACCGUUUAUCGUUUGAGCCGAUUUAUCGCUAUGACAAGCGAUUUAUCAGGAAUCUGCCGAUAAAUAGGACCUAUUAAUAGCACUAUGUUUGCAAAAGUUAUGUUUAUUUGCAUUUUGUGGACCUUGUUACGCAAUAUGUAUUGUUGUGCUAUUUUGCUUGUCAUUAUAAGAGGAUUCAAAGGCUGGGAAUCAAGGUAACACUUUUGUCCAAUAUUUUUUUGGUUUUGAAUUUAGCAUAUUUUAGUAUUGGGAACCCCGAAUUUGAAAAAAAAAUGACAGAUUAAUAGUCGACCGAUAAAAUCGAUUAAUCUAUCGAUUUCCGAUUAGUCUCUAAUCCCCAGCUGACCGAGACGCUAACGCUAAGCGAUAUCCUCAACAUUGGUACUAAUUCAACUAAACAUGAUACAGCUCCAGCUUCAGAUUAAACCACAUGUGCACAUUAAUAAGUAAAUGUGCUUUCUGAUCACAGCUAUCAUAGAGUGAGGCACAUCAAAGUUACUCAAUAUCUUUCUUCUUCCAAUGAAAGAUCAACACUUUCGAUUUUGCCCUAGGGCCAUGAAACCAAAAGAGAAGAAAAACAAAUAAAAUCAGACAUUCAGUUAAUAGGUACAAUCAGGUGCACAGUAGUUCCUUCCAAUUAAUAAGCUGAUCGAUAUAAGAUAAAAAAUACGUACAACUAAGAUAAACAAAUUGUCCUCCACAAACUUGUACUAAGAUAUAUGUUAGCCGCUUAUGUUAUAGAACUCUCUAGCAAAAUAUUCAAACGUAAUAAAAUAGACGAAUAAAUAAAAUUAUUUUUUAUAUGAAUGUUCAUCUAAUUUUUCUCUUAUAUGGAUGGAAUUUAACUUACUUAAAUGUCCCAAACAUAUUUGGAAAAAUAAUAUAAGUUUAACAACAAAUUGGAGUUGGUUUGUCAUUAUUGUAAUCUUAAUGGCUUUUUUUAAUAAUAUUUAACUCUAAGUUACUACUUGGGGUUCAUGUUGUUAGGUAUAGCAGACAAUUUUUAAAAAAUGUUGUACUCUCUCCGAUGAAAAUAAGUGUCUUAAGUAAAACUACGACACUAACUUUGGAUCGGAAGAGUAUCAAUUUAAAACAAAAUUAUGUAUAGUAAAUUUGAUAUAAUAAAUAGAAGUGUUGUCUAUAAAUAAGUUAUAACCAUUGGUGGAACCAGAGAUCGAGGUUUACUGGAGUGACGGGCGAUGACAUUCCUAGAUUAGUUUGCUCCCAUUGGUCACUAUGUACGGGUGGUAUGAAUCACUACCGGAGACCCAGGGCGAUCGACUAUGCUCAACCCAGCGCUUUAUUCUUCCAUUGAUGAUAACCUUAUUUCUAAACUGCAUGCACAAUUAAAAUUGAUUAUUCUAAUCAAUCCUGCAUACUUUCAUCAUGUAUUGUGAUUCUUUUUUCGAUGCCUUAGUUAUGUCAUCAUUGUUAUCUUCAACACUAUUUAAAAAGACGUAAUAUUCCGUCUUUAGUCUUACGUCUUUUGUUUCGUCCAACCUCCCACAUCCCUGCAACCCCACAUCGUCUCCCCUUCUUUUGUCUAUCUCUGGUUUAUUUUCAUGUCACUCCCUUUCCUGGUUCGAUAGGAUGCAACCCACACACCAUAAUCAAUCACUAUCGACGCCUCCCACACUCUUCUCACUUCUCCCAACCUUGGGUUUCCAGACUCCACUACUAUAGAACCGAAUAACACCGGCAAAUCAUAACAUCAUUGCUGUGCCAACGGCCUAUCAUUAGUUCCGGGUCGGUAAUGACUUUAUCAUCACUAACAAUCCCAAUGGAAUGUGGCUGAUGAUGACUACCGUCUGAAUGGUUGGCUGAGAAACCAAAAAAGUUGGGGUACACCAGCUGCCAAAAAUGAACCAGGAUAAACCUCAGCUUUUAAAGAAGUGUUGGUUUAAAAUACCCCUUUGGUUAGAUUCCAAUUUUUUAGCCAAAAGUUGGCAGCACAAACUGAAACAAACACCAAUUGCCAAAAAAGAACUAGGAAAAACCUCAGUUUUUAAAGAAGUGUUGGUUGUUUAGAAUACCACUUUGGUUUAAAUUCCAACUUUUUUAGCCAAAAGUUGGCAGCUCAAACUGAAACAAACUCAGGCUUGUUGUCUCACUACUAUCACAGGCUUGAGGCAUCUGCCGUCGGACAUGUGCUUUUCUCGGAGUCUGUGUCGCCUCAGUUUGUCCGGAUGCGGAUGCCGGGCAUGGAGCAACUCGUUGCCUGCACGUUGUACGCCCCUCAAGCGGGUGAGCCGUCAUACGACGAUGUGGACUGACAAAUGUUGGAGAUAAGCAACCAAUCCAUUUAGUACUUAUCAGUUUUGUUGAUGGACCUGCCUUUGGUUGUUUUGUUAGUCCAAAACGAGACCAAACAAGAAGUACUUCGAAUUGGUUGAAAGUACUUUUUGUGGCUCCAGUCGACCUGAUGUACUAAUAUGUUUGGAUUCCUUUGUUGUAUAUUCGCUAAAAAAAAUUGCGGGUGUAUAUUCCCGAAACUGAAGCAAUAGUAAGUCAACUAAACAUGAUACAACUUCAGGUUAGACCACCUUAAAAAGGAAACAUGCUUUCUUUAUCACAACUAUCACAGCGAGGUACAUCAAAGUUACUCCCUCCAUUCCAUAAUAUAACAUCGUUUUGCCAACUAAAAUAGCUCGCAAAACGAUUCUAUAUUGUGGGACGGAGGGGUACUCCGUAUCUUUCUAGUUUCCACUAAAAGAGCAGCAAUUUGGAUUUUGCCCUAGGACCAUGGAACCAAAAUAGAAGAAAAAUAAAUAAAAUCAGUCAUUCAGAUAAUAGGUACAAUCAGGCGCACAGUAGUUCCUUCCAAUUAAUAAGCUGAUCGAUAUAAGAUAAAAAAUACUUGCAACUAAGAUAAACAAACUGUGCUCGACAAACUUGUACUAACAUAUUUCUUAGACGUUUAUAUUAUAGAAUUCUAUAGCAAACUAUUCAAAGGUAAUAAAAUAGACUCAUAAACAAAAUUAUUUUGUAUAUGAAUGCUACUUCUAAUUUUUCUCUGAUAUGGAUGGAAUUUAACUUAAUUAAAUGUCCCAAACAUAUUUGGAAAAUAUAAGAUAAGUUUUACAACAAAAUAGAGUUAGUUUAUCAUUAUAGCAAUGUCAAUGGUAAUUUUUUGUGGAUAAAUGUUAACUAUAUUUGGCAUUUUUGUUGUUAGGUAUAGUAGACAAAAAUUGUUGUUUUAAAAAAAGCAAUUUAAAACAAAAUAAUGUAUAGAAAAUAUGAUAUAUAAUAGAAAGUAAUUUUUUGGCAUAAAUAAGUUAUAACCCAUUAGCGAAACCAAAUCAAGUUUUGUGGAGGUGACGCACAACGACAUUCCUCGAUUAGUUUAUUCCCAUUGGUGAAUAUGUACGGGAGGUAUGAAUCUGCAUCGGAGACCAAGACAACAGACCAUGCUUACCCAAGUGGUGAAUCUGCCACUAGUGAUAAUCAUAUUUCUAAACUGUAUUAACAAUUAAAUUUGACCAUUCUAAUCGAUCGUCUAUGCUUUCACCAUGUUUUGCAAUUUUCCUCUUAAUAUGUGUUGACCUUAAUUAUGUCAUCAUUAUUAUCUUCUAACACCAUCUAGAAAGACUUAAUAUUCCGUCUCAAAUCUUAUAUCUUCUCUUUCGUGCGACCCCCCACAUCCCUGCACCCCCACAUCGUCUCCCUUUUUGUCCAUGCCCGCUUUAUUUACGUGUGCCUCCCAUUCUUGGUACGCUAGGACGCAACCCACACACCACAAUCGAACCGAUGCCUCCCUCACCCUUCUUACUACCUCCCAAUCUAGGGUUUCCAACCCCCACUACUACAGAACUGAAUAUUACUGACCGGCCAAAUCAUAUCAUCACUGAUGCGCCAACGACCCGUCAGUAGUUCCUGGACGGUGAUGACUGUAUCAUCACAAACGAGCCAGGUGGCCGGUCAAUGAAGAUGACUAGAAGCUGAAUGGUUGGUUGACAAGCCAAAAAGUUGGGGUACACCAGCCGCCAAAAAUGAACUAGGGGGAAACCUUAGCUUUUAAAGAAGUUGAUUGUUUAGAAUACCCCUUUGGUUCAGAUUUCAACUUUUUUAGCCAAAAGUUGGCAGCUCAAAGUGAACAAACACCAGUUAGCAAAAAUGAACUAGGGGAAAUCCAGCUUUUAUAGAAGUGUUGGUACCUUAGAACACCCCAGCCUUUGGUUCAGAUUCUAGCCUUUUUAGCCAAAAGUUGGCGGCUCAAACUAAAACGAACACAAGCUUGUGGUCUCACUAUCAUCACAAGAGCGUGUGGUAUUGUGGUAGAACUCUCCGGUUGAAUUUGUGAUUGUGGUGACCCUUGCGAAAUGUCAAAACAGUCAAAAUUUUGUAUUUGCCACACUGAAAGAGAUCUGAACAAUGUGGAGACAACAGUUUUGCGUACGUGACAACAUAGCUGCCACAAACAAUUGACAAAACUCAGAAAUAGAGGAAAUAAAGAAAUAAAUAUUUCAUUUUAUGGAAACUCAGCAAAUUUCAAUAAUAAGUCUAGUAAAUUUAUUAUCUUUGAGUAUUAAUGAAACAAAUAGAAAUCCAGGAUUACAUUUAGAUAAAACUUAAAAAAACAGAAGGAAAUAAACAAAAAACUCUGAUAUUCUAGAAAACAUUAAAAAUAUGAGGAUAUUAAAAUAAAAAUAGGAGAAAAUUACCACCGCUUUAUCUCAACCAAACGGCUCUGAGGGGGUUCAUUGUGACCUGCCUCCGAGGGAAUGCCAGCCAGUUAACAUAACUGAAACAGAAAGCUUCUAAUUUUCAUCUAUCUCUAUGUUUUUCAUAACAUUUUUUAUUUUUUGCAUAUUUAAAUUCCUGAAAUAUUUUAUAAUGGUUUUUCUCUUCAUAUAUUUCUUGACUGAGUCGAAUUUAUUUUCUCGCCGAGCUGCCAAGGAAUUGGCCAUGUUAGCAUUAAAAUUACUUUCAGUGAAGCAACAUGCUAAAUUGGGACGGUUCUCGUACUACGACUGUGUCAUAUAGAUGUUCAGUACUCCCUGUCUCCCUCUGCCAAAACUUAUAAGUGGCUAUUGUAGUAAAGAAAAUUUGUUUUUUCUAAGUUGUGCAUGGAUUAAAGUUCUAUAAAAUUCUUAAUUUAUUUUCAUGCCGAUAGCAAAACAGCAGUAUGAAGGAGUCAAAAUUAGAUGAUGAUUAUUAUUUCUUAUUUGAAAAUAGAAGUCUUUCUAUUUUUGAUGUGCCUGAGAAACCAUGGGAGGGCCAUUUGAAUUAUUGAUGCUAUUUCUAGGAGACAGGUUCAGUGACUCGCAAUAAGAAAUUCAAUUAUGCUCGUUGGAUCUUGACACAGGUUAUUGUCAAUGCGUCGUUCCGAUAUUAGAGCAUCUCUAGCAGACCCGCAAAAUCCCAAUCCACAUAAGUGUUUUUUGCAGUUCGUGGAAAAGUCCAUAUGCAGGCCGGCACGGGCGAGGUCAGACUCGGAUCCUGCAAAAUGGACCCGUAAAAAAGGAUAUUCGGCAAAUAUGCUCUUUUACGGGUCGGCUACGCGGGGUCUGCUCAGGCACCGCCGCGUUGACCCACAAACCGAAUACACCCAAUUCACGAAUUUGACAUCGGUUCUAACAAAUAAGUUCAAAUUCAAACAAUAGAACACAGUUCACGCGCAAAUAAAAACUUAAGUUUUGUAGGACAAACGCAAAAGAUGGUCUUGCAGAAGUGACGACCACGUCUGGCAUCAUCUUGGUCGAUCUUCACUCCGCGCCAUCGAGUCCAUGGAGUUCAUCGGAACCACCGAAUCCAUCUCCGAUGCUUGUUCCAACUCCCGCACCGAAAUCAUCGACAUUGGUUCCAAACCCCGCUGAGAAAACCUCUUCGGCACUGUAACACACACUAGCCGAUGCAACCAUUCUCUUCUUUAAGAUUUCUCUUCUUGCCAUAUCAUGCCAUUCUUUGGUGAGGUCGUCCAUGUCAUUGCGGUUCAUUGUGAUGAUCUUGUUCUCUUCGGCGAGCAACUUGGACAUGGCUUUGUUUUCAGAGGCACAUGCUCUUCUCUCCUCAAUGGCCGCUUUGCGCCGCCCCUCUUCCUUGAGCAACUGCCAUUUUUUUGCUUCUUCCUUGCCUUCUUCUCGACCAACUCUUUCUUAAUCUCCAACGACUUCAACAACAUCAAAUCAUUUGAUUGCACCAUGGCAUCAAUCUUCUCCCUCAAGCUCGAAGAUUCGUGCUCUCUCUUCAUCUUCUCCUUAGUCUUCUUGUCGACAUCGGGCUUGUUCAAGUUUCUUGGACCAUCAUCAUCCUCAUCUUCAUCCAUGUUAGUAAGUGAACCUCUCUUCGGUGGGGAUUCUUUGUCAAUCAACUUCCACUUCUCGCACUCUUUGAGCAAGUCCCAACAAUGCUCUAGUUUGAAGAAUUUACCUUCCGAAGCUUCCAUGUCUUUGUAUCUAUGUUGGCCAAUUUUGUCCUACACAAUUUGAACAAACUCAAUAUGAUGUGCACAACUUGAACAAAGUCAAAACGAACUCACAUAGUCGGAUUCCACGGUUCCACUUGGAGGUGCAUUGCGUGCUUGCUCCAAGCAAGCUGCCAAACGGCUGCAAAUUGGCUCGAUCACAUCCCAACACCCUUGAAGCGACUGAAAGGUGCAUGGAGUCCUAUUGGGAUAUUUUGCCAUCAUGCGGAAGUAUUGAUCUUCGAUCCUUUGCCAAUACCUCUUGGUGGUUUGAGAAGUUCCCGUGCAUGCAUCAAGAGACCCCGCACUCCAUGCCCUGAUCAAGAUUUGAUCUUCCAAGAUCGUGUAGUUCUUCGAUCUCUGGCUUUUUUCACUUUUUGUUUGCGAUUGCUCAUACGCCCCCUCAUCGAUCUCCUCCACUUCUUCCUCACCACCAUGAUCAUCCACGCCGCCCUCCGUUUCAUUGUAAUCGAAUGCGGCGAACGGGGCUUGAUCGAUGUCGACGGUGUUGGUAUCCAACAAGCUCACGAACUCGGUAGUUGCAUUGUUCGAACCACCGCUAUAGUGAACGACAACAAGUCACGAGCUAUUGCAAAUGGCGAAAAGCAAAGGAAAUUGCCAUGACCAAAGACGCAUACCUACCGGCCAUUUCGUCAAACACCUCGCCUGCGGUGGGAGCAGCACCGUUGAGCGGCAUCGCCGGGGAACCUCUUUCCGGGGCGGAGGGAGUGGAUGAAGGAGGCGGCUUCUUUGUAGCCGGAAUCCUCUUCCUCUUUACGCCGGUGGCCUUCGCGACCUUCUCCGCCGCCGGCCGGGAUCGCGCAGCGGCGUUGGCGCCCGGAGCGCGGGCCUUCGCGGCGGGGGCAGGCGGAUUCCCGCCCUGCACGACCACGUUGCCCUGCCGCUUGCGGGCAGGCGCGAGGUACCUUGGGCGACGGCCGGGCCAACAUGGCCGGCGACGAGAUCCGCCCGAGGGGAUUGAGCGUGCGCGACCUCGACGGUGACGAGGGACAUCACGGAGUCAUCCAUGGCGGCGAAGGACUGCCGAGGAAGAUGCACCGGAGCGGGAGGUGACGGGGCAAUGGUGACGGAAGGUGGGGGGAGCGGGAACGGCCGCUCGGAAAUGUCCCUCCCGCCAAAUCUCGCUGCGGAUAGGGGCCGAGCUCGGAUCGUCCUCCCAGCCUGUGAAUCUAGAGGUCGUGGGAGAUCUUUUGCCGCGCCCCGCAAAAAAAUUUAAGGGUCGGCUGCGAAUACGGUGUCUGAUCGGACAGGUUUUUCCGCCCCAACCCGUAUUUUGACGGUUAUUUUGCGGGUCGAGACGGUACGUGGGGUCUGCUAGAGAUGCUCUUAUCUCUGCGGACUUGCGUCGAUCCGAAACUGUCGCAAUGGACAAAGCCGCUACUUCUUCCGCCGGGAAUAAACAAAACGACGUGAGGUGAGCAGCCCACUGCACCGGAAUGACAGCGAGAGGUGAGCAAACUGAUUCUGAAUUCUGAAAGCACCCGGUAUCCUGGAAAACCAACGUCCGCUGCCGCCUGUUUUCCUCUGGCCCUCACGUGUAUAUAACACCAUCGGCUCCCACUCUUCUUCUCAUCAACACAAACAAGUAUCGAUCAGCUUGCUUCACCACCACAAAAUCCACACUCCACUGCUAUCAAGCUUCAAGCAUCAGAGAGUUCAGGCAGACCAUUGAGCGGCAUCAUCUCCUCCAACGCGGCGAGAAGAACAGAGUUGCAGAGAGAUCAUGGCGGGUGCGGCGAAGGCGUCAUGGAUGGUUGCGAUGAGCGUGGGCGCCGUGGAGGCGCUCAAGGAUCAGGCCGGGCUCUGCCGCUGGAACUACGCGCUCCGGUCCAUCCACCGGACUGCCAAGGCCAGGGCCAACGUCCGUGGCGGCGUCUCGCAGGGCGCAAGGCAGCUUCCGGCUUCCGCAGCGGUGGCGGAGAAGCGACGAGCAGAGAAGACCGAAGAGGGGCUGAGGACCGUGAUGUACCUCAGCUGCUGGGGUCCCAAUUAGUACUACUAGCUACCAAGAGGUGUUUUCUCCUAGCUCCAGCAUCUGUUAGAAACUUCUAGCAACAACCACGCCGUGUGACUUGGCUGGUUAAUUCCCUGCCGAUUAUAAAUACGUAUCACGAUGAUGAUGAUGAAACCUUUCCCCACUUCGAGUUCACAUUAUCCUUCUUCAGAAAGGUUUGAAUUGCCUUUCAAACUGAUCUGUUUGUUUCAAAUUCUUUGGGAAGAUUGUUGUUUCGAGUUGGGCGCAAGCUUUGCCUGUUGCUCUGUUCGAUGGGCAGAGCAUUGAUCCUGCUCCAUUUUCCGCCAGCUUGUGCAGAUGAUAAUCAAAACCUUCUUCUUUUUUUGCGAAUUAGUGUUGUAGGUUCAGUUUUAUAAACAUAUGAAUAUGAUACUACCUCCGUCUCGGUGAAUAAGUCAUUCGCGUAGUUCUAGGUCGAUGAUUUAACUAUCUAAAUAUGGAUUAUGUGUAUAAAAAAUAUAUAUUUAGAAAUUACAUCCGUGUAGAAAUCUAGUGAUAUACUUUUCAUAACAUAUAACUCAUAUUUAAUUGCUCAAAUCAAUGACCUAGAACUACGUAAAUAACUUAUUCAUCUAGACGGAGGUAGUAGUACAGUAUGCAUCUUUCCACUAUUUGUGCAACCUCACAUGCGUCUUCUUUGUUGUGUUCGUCCAUCAGACGUACGCGGGACUGUUACUACCAAACAAGCGCUGAAAGUGGAAACCAUGUGUUGCUCCUCUGGUUCCCCCUCCCCCCGGCCAGCUCUCAUACUCGUACGUGUUCUCACUGUCACAUGUCCACAACAUGAGCCUGAAGCCCUGAGGUGAUAAAGUUUCUCCAGUUAAGUCGGUGAAGAAACUUACAAUAUUUGGCUACUGCACUGAAAAUGUGAUUGCUUGCUAUAGGACCAGCGCAUCAGACCAGCCGAUGAAGACAAGUGUAGAUCGGAAGGAUUCAACUUGCAGACACACAGACCUAGACGAACGAAGAUCGGAUCCAUCGAAGACAAACGCCGACCGUAUCCCAUGAAAUCCGUUGGAAACACACGUCCACACGCCCUCCGACGAGCUUGAAGCAUCAACCGGGCGUGGGCUAGGCAGGGAGAACCUUAUUUCAUCUAAAAAAAGCAGUCGCCGCCUCAUCUUCUUGAGCAUGGCACAAAUCCUAACAAAACUCUGAAAAGCAUGUAAAAAUGGAGCCCUCCCGCCGGCAAGGGCCGGUAUCCACCGCGCCUCCAUGGUCCAAGGACCAUAGAAGACGAGGCGGACCGGUGGCGGCGCCAGCGAGAGGUAGGGAAACCCUAGACGGGAGUUCGCACAAGAGCGGGAGCGAAGAAUUUUUUUUUGUACAAUUAACAUUCUUGGCUUUACAUGUCACCAGUGGUUAUACCUUUUUAUUAAUUUGCAGGGGCAUGUAUUAUAUAUUUUUUGUAUAUUUUAAUAAAUAUAUAUUUUUCUCCAUCAGUUGUCAAAGUAUAAAACUACAAUGUGGAAAUUUUUUGGACUCCCAGGUCUCCCAAGUGUCAAACGUCUAGAUUUGCAUCUUGACACAUUUAUAGUUGUCUUACCAUAAAGUUGACGCGAUGAUUUUGAAUAUACCGAAUUCAUGUUAUUCCUUCGGGGGAAAAAUGAUUCUCCAACUAUUGUCAAAUCUUAAAUUUGGCUCCAAACAUCAAAAAAAUUCUUUGCCAAUCAAGUAUCAAAAACAUCUAGACUUGGUAUUUUGCCCCAUUGAAAGUGGUUUUGCAUACAUGGUAGCAUAAUCACCACAAUGAUUUUUUUUACAUCACAUGGGAAAGAUGAGAAAAUAGAACAAUAAAAAAUUCAGACAUUUGCUAAACAAUAUAUGUUUAUUUUAGGAAUUUUUUGUCUAUACAAAAAAAAGCAUGGAAAUGAAGAGGUACAGAAAAAAUUGGUCAAAAUGAACGAAUUUGCGAAAAACCUUUUAUAUUUGAAGAUGUAUUAAAACUAAGAGAAUUUCAAAUUUGAAGAAUUAAAUCGAGGAAAUUAAAUCUUUUGAGUUUUAUCAGAUUACAUGGUUUCCUGAAUAUAGUAUAUGAUAAUUAUCCAAUUUCAAAACUCCUGAAAUCUUACCUGAUUCUUUAUGUUUUUCCUAAAAAAUAAUGUGUUAAUUUCCCCAUUUUAUUUGUGUUCUGCCAAUUUUAUUUGCACACUUAGUUACGACAUGUGCAAAACCCCCUCUAUGGCAACUAAAAUAAAUUGCUUUCCAUGAAGCAGUAACUUCGACAAUUCUACCCGCAAAAAAAAAAAACUUCGACAAUCCUGACAUUUUUUAGCCUACGAACAAUAGUCCUACAGUAUUCUAAGACAACUAAUGUUACUACUCGCAAGUGGCAAUAACAUUUGAAUCUGCUUACUGAAUAUUUACACACAUCACCUAUCCUUUAUUCAUAUCUUAUCUCUGUCGGCUUGUUCCAAUCCCAGACUCUAUCGCAAUGGCCAAAACCACCACUUCCACAGAGAAUAAACAAACGACACGGCAACGAUGGUUGCGGCGUGAAGAAGCAGAGUAGCAGCAGAGUGAUGACUCCAGAAGCACCCGGUUUCGUGGGAAAACCAACGUCCGCGACCACUGUUUUGCUCCAGACCUCCCGUAUAUAACCACGUCCCAGCCCCUCUCCCCCUCUCAUCAACACAAGCAUCUACACUCACAAAGUCCGCGCUCUGCACUCUACACUCGACAACUAGCUACUCUACUACUCUUCAGUCAUCACCUACUUCAGACCACCAACACACAGAGAGAUCAUGGCGGGUGCGGCGAAGGCGUCUUGGAUGGUGGCGAUGAGUGUGGGCGCCGUGGAGGCCCUCAAGGACCAGGUCGGCCUCUGCCGCUGGAACUACGCCCUCAAAUCCAUCCACCGGGCAGCCAACGUCCGCGGCGGCGUCUUGCAGGGCGCCAAGCAGCUUCCGGCCUCUGCUGAGGCGGCGGCCGAGAAGCGGCGAGGGGAGAAGGCCGAGGAAGGGCUGAGGACGGUGAUGUACCUCAGCUGCUGGGGUCCCAAUUAGAAGCUGCAACUUGGUACUAGCUAGGCGUGUGUGUGUUUGCUGCAACAACCAUGGCCUGGAACCACGAUGUAAAAACUUGGUACUAGCUGGCUUCCCGAGGAAUCCCCCAUUGUAAAAACCCCGAUGAUGAUGAUGACAAAUUUCUGUUACUUCAGUUCAUAUCACUCUCCUUAUCUGUUUGCCUUUUUGUUAUCUUGAUGAGAAAUAUGAAUAGAUGCUUUACUUUAGUUUCAGCUAUUCCCUUGUCUUUGAACCCGGCCUUUUGGUCGUAUGUCAUUACAACUUACAAGGACUUCAUUUUUUUACCUGAGUUCAUAGCAAACAUGCUGUAUCUCUUCAGUCUGCAGCACACGUGAAGGUGUCCUCUGCAGGUGUUGAAAAGAGACACAUGAUAAAUUCCCAUAUCUGAAGCAACCUCACACGGCCCCUGGUAUGGUGGAAACCAUGUCUUCCAGCGUGUGGGUCACCCCCAUCUAAUCUUAUCUUAUCACUCUGCCUUGUCUGGUUGUAACAGACAAAACCAUGGCCCACUGUUUUUUCGAUAAAGGAUGAAUUUUAUUGGCUCAAAAUGAAGCAUCAAGAGAAUAUAAACAUAAUGAGAGUCUGUUGAACCUACUAGCUAGGCGUGUUGGGGUCCCAAUUAGCAGUGCACCUUGCUACUACUAGCUAGGCGUGUUUGUGUUUGCUGAAACAACCAUGGCCUGAAACCGCGAUGUAAAAGCUUGGUACUAGCUGGCUUCCCGUGGAAUCCCCCAUUAUAAAAACCACGAUGAUGAUGAUGACAAAUUUCUGUUACUUCAGUUCAUAUUACUCUCCUUAUCUGUAUUUUUUUAUAUCUUAAUGAGGAAUAUGCAUUGAUGCUUUAAUUUGGUUUCAGUUUACAGCUAUUCCGUUAUCUAUGAACCCGGCCUUUUGGUCGUAUGGCAUUACAACAUACAAGAGCGACGAGUUCGUAGCAAACCUGCUGAAUUUCUUCAGCCUGCAGCACACAUGAAGGUGUCAUCUGCAGAUGUUGAAGUGACACACAUGGUAAAUUCCCAUAUCUGUACUGAAGGUCUCAUCAAGCAAUCCAUUUACAUUCGGUUUUGCUCCUUGACCUGCCUCCAGUUGCUUAGUUCGUCCACAUUAAAUAGUGUUAGAAGGGAGAGAGGGAUUUGGUGGAAUAGUUGAUUUAUUGCUUGAGCCUCGUGGGCAUAUAUAUAUAGGAGUACAAUGAUCUACUUGGAGUAUAAGACAAGCCAGAACAAAUCCUAGUCUAUCUCGUCUUUCCUAAUAAAUAUUAUACUCAACAUUCCCCUGCAGUCACAACGAUAGCGACGCAGACGGUGAGACUGGAGAAGAAUCCGAAGGCAAGCCGACGGACACCCCUCCCCCCCAGUCGUAACGGUCGACGCAUCGCGGAGUCAUGGCUGGAGUGGAAACCGACGAGGUUGCUCAAGCAGGCGGUAGCCCUUUGUGCCGUUUGUCGAUGUAGCCGAGAGCGUGGGUGGUGGAGCCGUGGUCGAGGUAGCCGUGCGAAGAAUGCCGUGGUCGAUAUCGAGUCGGGGUAGCCGGUGUCGAGGAAGUCAUCGUGGAGCCGCGGGCGCAAGGGGGCGCCGAGUUAGCAUGGGCGCAGUGGUGUCGAAGUAGGGGUGCGCCGGGAAGAAAAUGUUGUUGACGACGCGUCGCGGCGGGUUUGCCAAGCCCGGGGACACAUUGUGGACGAAGGCACGCACCGGUGUUGCCAGCACCGGACAUGCGUAGACGGAUGAAGACGAAGUUGACGAAGCGCCGACCAGGCAUGCCAGGCCCGGGGACACGUCGUGGAUGAAGGCACGCAUCGGUGUUGCCAGCACUGGGCAUGCGUAGACAAGGGACAUGUACGAGCUGUACGCCAUGUCGGAGAAGUCGGAGGGGCCAGCAGAGAAGAACUCGACGACGAUUGCGGCGUCCAUCGGCGCGGGGCCGAUUUCACCAACGGUGGUCGGAGUAGACGAAGUGGUCGGGGUAGAUGACAGCGACACUGGCGACGGGCUGGUGCUUGGACGAAGACGAAGGGGGUGGACGGUGUGACGCCCUCGAUUCAAUUGUACACUAAUCAUACAUGCAAAUGUGUACGAUCAAGAUCAAGGACUCACGAGAAGAUAUCACAACACAACUCUAGACACAAAUUAAAAUAAUACAAGCUUUAUAUUACAAGCCAUGGGCCUCGAGGGCUCGAAUACAUAAGCUCGAAUACACAAGAGUCAGUGGAAGCAACAAUAUCUGAGUACAGACAUGAGUUAAACAAGAUUGCCUUAAGAAGGCUAGCACAAAAGUAGCAACGAUCGAAAAGGCAAGGCCUCCUGCCUGGGAGCCUCCUAACUACUCCUGGUCGUCAGCGGUCUCCACGUAGUAGUAGGCAUCGACGGUGGCAUCUGGCUCCUGGGCUCCGACAUCUGGUUGCAUCAACCGAAAAGAAGAAGAAAGGGGGAAAAGGGGGAGCAAAGCAACCGUGAGUACUCAUCCAAAGUACUCGCAAGCAAGGAUCUACACUACAUAUGCAACAUUAUCAAAGGAAGGCUGUAUAUGUGGACUGGGCUGCAGAAAUGCCAGAAUAGAGGGGAGAACCUAGUCCUAUCAAGGACUAGCAUCUUCUGGAAACCACCAUCUUGCAGCAACAGGAGGGAAUAGAGUAGCAUAAAGUAAUGUAGUAGAAGUGUUAUCAACCUCGGCCAGAGAUCCCUUCUCGACUCCCUGCGAGAAAGCAAUCCCAGAGCCAUACUAUCCAGUUAUCAUCACAAACCAAUUCUCAUCACAAGUAUCCAGUUCUAGUUGUAUCGAUCGGGAUACAACUCCAAGUGUCCGUUACCGUAGGACAGGCUAUCGAUAGAUGUUUUCUUCCCUGCAGGGGUGCACCAACUUACCCACCACGCUCGAUUAACUCCGGCCGGACACACUUUCCUGGGUCAUGCCCGGCCUCGCCCAAACAAUACGCCACAACCCGACCUAGGCUUAAUAGAGAGGUCAGCACGCCGGACUGAAUCUAUGCCCCCAGGGGUCAUGGGCCAUCUCCUCGGGAACUCCUGCAUGUUGCGUACGCGGCCGGUGAGCAGACCUAGCUACCUCCUUCAACAAGGCAGGUGCUUACGCAGUCCAACCCGGCGCGCGCCGCUCAGUCGCUGACGUCUAUUAAGCUUCGGCUGAUGCAUACGGCGCAGAACGCCCAUACUAUGCCCAGGUGAUGGUUAGUGCUAUCAGGCCAGAGGCCCCUCGGAUCAAAUAUCCAAAUUGUAGUGGAUUAGGAACGCGCGGUAACAAGCAGAGACUCACGAAAGAUGUGACCCCGUUGCCCCGUCUCGAGGACUUGCGGCGAGGGCUAGGAAUGCCCGGCCACGCCUCGUAAUUAUCUCGCGGGCACCCUCCAGGUCAACCCGUCUCCACAUCACUCGCAAUUAAGCUCGCGCGGGUACCCCUCAGGGCCGACCCGUCUUUAGUAACAUGGUCCAGUGUAAAGUCAUAGUAACCAUAGUAACUAUGUGUCCAAACAACAAGGGGAAAACCCGAGGAAUCACCCCCGGUGAAUUCCACUCGAUGUAAUCAUCAAGGUGAACGUAAGAGGAACCACCCCCGAGGUUCACACUUGAGGGGUUGCACGACAGAGUCGUAUCGGAAGUGGUUAAGGCGGAAUCGCCCUCGAUGACCACGACCGAUUAGCUAGACUACAGGGUUAACAUCAGAAGUGCUGUAGAGGUCUCACCCUCGGCACUCGAUAGUAACCCAGUAGUGUCGAGCCACUAAGGGGAAAGUGAUGUGCGGUGCCUGGUCUUCGAUCCCGUUGAUCGGGUCUUCAAUGAUGAAGCAGGGGCAACAAGGACAAGGUGGGGGUCAUUGAUGGAUCACUAACCAACCUAUACUAAGCAGUUUUAGGAUAAGCAGGUAGGUAACAAUGAGCAGGUUACAAAAGCAGGCUAUGCAUCAGAAUAGGAGCAAAUAAUAACAGUAGCAAAAUCUAAUGCAAGCAUGAGAGAAUGGAAUGGGCGAUAUCGGAAUGAUCAAAGGGGGGCUUGCCUGUUUGCUCUGGCAAGGAGGGGUCGUCGUCGACGUAGUCGAUCACAAGGGCAGCAUCGGUCUCGGGGUCUACCGGAGAGAAGAGGGGGAAGAAACAGUAAAUAUAAAGCAAACAUAGCAUCACAAAGCAUAACGUGGCAAUAUGUUGUGCCGGGUGUGACCUAACGUAUGGCUACACGAUAUAGGUGAAGGGGGAAAACAUCCGGGAAUGCUUUCCCGAAGUUUGGCAUUUUCGGACAGAUGAAACGGAGGGGAAAUGUUACAUGUUCGUUAUGCUAGGGAUGUGUGACGGACGAACGGACCGCGUAUUCGGAUUCGUCUCGUCGUUCUGAGCAACUUUCAUGUAUAAAGUUUUUCGAUCCGAGCUACAGUUUAUUUUCUACGAAUUUUAAAAGAUUAUGCAUUUUCUGGAAUUAUUAAUUUAACAGAAUUCACAGAAAAGCAAAAUGACGUCAGCAUUGCGUGGGGAUGAUGUCAGCAGUCAACAGACUCGCUGACCAGGUCAAAACUGACCAGUAGGUCCAGCGGGACCCACAUGUCAUAGAGAGAGUUAACAGAGUUUUAAAACGAACUAACAGAGUUAUUUAUCAGGAAGGCCCCACCUGUCAUGGACUAAUUAACUAAACUAAUUAGUUUUAAUUAUGAAAACAUUUUAAUUAGAGGAUUAAGCGGUGGGGCCCGCACGUCAGCGUUACAGAGGUGCCUAGUCAGCACGUUGACUGGGUCAAACCCAGUCAACGGGGCCUGCGGGGCCCACUGGCAGUGACCCAGGGGUGGCCCCAGGUGUGCCACGUUGGCGGUGGCCGGCGGCUGAACGCCGGCGACCGAAAACAUGGCGGAGGCGCUCGGGACCUCGCCGGAAUCCUCAUACAAGGGCCAUUUGGCCCGCACGUUUGGUGCGUUCGAACAAGUGAGCAACGCCUCAUCCAAACGAGGUAGCGCGGGGCCUCGAAAACGACCGGAGAUGGCUGGACGACGAGUUACCGCGGCGGCCGGAAUUCGGAAAUGUGCAGGUGCAGCUACGGCUUGAUUCUAAGAAAGCUAAGCGGCAUCAGCAGUCCUCCAGGAGCGCGCUACGGGGACUAGACGGAGCAGGAGGAGCUCGGGAGCUUGUGCACGGCAGCAAUGGCGGACGGCGGAGCCGGCGCUUAUGGCCAGCUAGCUAGGGAAGGAGGAGCAAGGACGGGGAGGGAGGAGGCGGAGCUUACGGGGCAGGCACACGGAGGCCUCUUGGGGGUCGGGAGCGCAGAGGGAGGCCUGUGGCUCCGGUGAUCGCCGGUGACCACCGAGAAGGGGAAGAGGGCGAUGCCGACGUCGCCGACGUCCCCGGCUCCAGCUGAUGCACGAGGACGAUGAAGCGGAGGACGGCGCACCUCCCAGGCUCGGUUGCCGGGCUCGGGGACGCCGGUGGCCGCGGGGACGACGAAGACGCGGCGUCGGAUGCGCUCGGUGGAGAGGGAGAGAGCUCGAGGGAGAGGCGAGAGAGAGAGGGCAGAAUGGAGGAGGCGUCCAGGGGAGUGGAUGAGGAGGAUCUAGGGAAAGGUGAGCCCGAGGCGUCGCCCUUAUCCACCUCGACGCCGGCGAGCGGGUGCGGUUGGGGCGCGCUCGGCGCGCGCACCGGGUUGGUGGAACAGGAGGGAGGGGAGAGCGACCGGGGAGGGGGCGUGGGCCGACCUGCUGGGAUGGGCCGAGGCCCAAGGGAAGGCCAGGGGCUUCUCUCUCUCUCUCUCUCUCUCUCUCUCUCUCCUCUGCCUUUUCCCUUUUCUUUUUCCUUUUUGUUUCUUUUAUUUGUUUUGUUUUGCAUUUUUCUUUCAGUACCAAAAUGAGUUUUGUUUUCAACAAAACUUGGCACAAAACCUUGAGAUGGAACAAAAAGUUUGGGGUCAAAAGGAGUUGCCUAAUCAAUUUUAGAAAUUGAAAAGUCCAAUUUAAAUGCUGCUGGAGCACCAAUUAAUUCCCAUGGGCAUUUUGGAAAUUCAGAAGAGGUUGGUUCAACAUGACAGUGAUCAGGGAAAUUUAUAUGAUAAGGUGAACAUUUUAGUUUUGCUGCCCAAAGAAAUAAUUUAUUAGACUUAUUUUAAAUUUGAAAAAGGCUUUGAUUUUUGGACAAGUGGCAAGCUACAUAGUAAUCACGAUGACAUGGCCACCAUUAGGGGGAGAUUACUGUAGCAUGAUUCUCGGGGUGUUACAGACGGGCGGCAGCGGCGGCUACGAAGGUAGCGGCAGCGGCGGCCAAAGAAGAGCGGCGGCGGCGGCCUGACGGCGCCGGCGGCGGCUAGGUUAGGAGUGUGGCGGCGGUGCUCGAAGUAGGCGAAGAACCCUGACAGCGUGACGCAGACCGGCACGGAUGGUGGCGUUCCCGCGCCAAGAAGAUGGCGCGACGCAUACCACGUGAGGUCGACGCGCGGUAUCGGCGGAGCGGACCGUGGGCCGCGGCGCUACGGACCGUGGGCCGCGGCGCAGCGGCUGCAGGCGGGUCGGAGCGACUGCGGGAAGACCUCUGGGCGGCGGCGGGGACCGCGGACCGCGACGCUGCGGCCCGAAGGGGCGACACAACGGCGGUUCGCGAGUUGGUGCAACCGCGGGGACGGCCUCGGGGCGGCGGCGGGGACCGCAUAUCGCGACACUACAUCCCAAAGGGGCGACGCAGCGGCGACGCACGAGUCGAUGUAGCCGCGAGGAGAACCACGGGGUGGCGGUGCUGCGGCCCGACGGGGCGACGCAGUGGCAGCCCGAUGCUCGAUCGGUGGAGAGGCGCGCUGAACUCGGGGACGAUCUUCACGGGACCUGCGGAGGCUCGCGUAACCGACGGGCCAGGUCGGUCGCACGGCGUAGAUGAGGCGGAUCGCGGCGGCGAGCGGGUGAUCAAGCCGAUCGCGCGCGAGGUCGGGGACGCCGCUCGAUGGAGGCGUGGUGGCGGCGGAGUCCGAGAUGAAGCCGGCGACGACGGGCGGCGUGGGACAUCGUGCAGACGAGCAUGUCAGCACCGGCACCCGGGCUGCCAAAGCAACACCGGCGCCCGGGCAGCGAGGCCCGAGCGACCAACGGAGCAGCGGCGCCCGAGUUGAGGCAGCCGACGAGCCUGACGCAGCCAUCCCGACGCAGCCGAGGACGAGGCCGGCGAGGUAGACCACCGGGCCGCCGUGCAGACGCGAUGGAGGCGGGUGAUGUGGAUCGAUGGGCGGGCCGGCGCGCGAGCGACGGCUAUGAUUGGCCGUCGCAUGGCGCGAGGCCGCCGGGUCGGAGCGAUGCAGGUGUCCCAGUCGGAGCAGGGCGGUGACGGCGCAGGGCGAUGGGCGGACCGACGCGCGGACGGCGGCUGGCCCUGACGGGCCGCCUCGGCGCGCGUGGCCGCCGGGUCGGAGGAGAGGCCGGCUGGUCGCGCCGGGGUCGGAGUAGAGGCGCUCGGGGUCGACGGCGGCGGUGGGCGACGCAAACCGAUCGAGAAUAGAUCGGAAAACCAAAAAGAAACCGCGCGAUCAAGAUGACCGGCGGGAGAGAGAAAACCUCGGAGCAAGACUCGGGGAAAAGACUCUCUAAGGCAGCCAGUCAACACGACCGGCGGACGAACACUAGGUACGGGCGACGCGGCCCCCAGCGGCGGUCAUGGAGGCCGAUCGCCCCGGGGACAGCGCACGGGUGUGGAAGCGGCGGCGGCUAGGGUUUAGGAUCAACUUGCGAUAGAUAUCAUGUUAGAAGGGAGAAAGGGAUUUGGUGGAAUAGUUGAUUUAUUGCUUAAGCCUCGUGGGCAUAUAUAUAGGAGUACAAUGAUCUACUUGGAGUACAAGACAAGUCAGAACAAAUCCUAGUCUAUCUCGUUUUUCCUAAUAAAUAUUAUACUCAACAAAUAGUAGGAGUAGUAGUUAACUAAUCCUUACUAUCUGCAGGUUUUCUGAUCAGAGCUAUAGCAAGAACCAAGAGCCAAAAAGGCAGGUCACCCGUUUUUCUUUCCAAGUUUUCCUAGGGUCAUUCAAGCAAAUGAAUUGGCUUUUCAACAAGAGGAAUCCCCACACGUUUCGAGUACCACAAGUUUUUCUUUUGAACCAGGUUAACCCCUCUCAAUUAAUAGCAGUACCACGAGUUUCUUGGAAAUAAUCAUGAUGUAUUUAUAUCAUUAUUAAUAAUCAAGAUGUUUUGCCUGAGGCGCACACAUGGAUGACUCCUCCAUCCGACGUUGACACGAAGCGCACGCGGCCCGUGGUAUGGUGGAAACCAUGUCUUUCAGCGUGUGCAUCACCCCCAUCUAAUCUUAUCUUAUCUCUCUGCCUUGUCUGGUCGUAAAGGACAAAACCAUGGCCCACUGUGCGGGAACCAGAGCGAGAGGUGCAGCGCAAGCAAGCAAAAGCGAGCUCUCCUGAAACUGAAAGCACCCGGUUUCUUUUUUUUUUUUUUUGAGAUCCGCGGCCGCCUGUUUUGCUCCGGCUCUUCCGUGUAUAUAACCCCGUCCCACUCCCACUCUUCCUCCCGUCAACACAAACCAGUAUCAAUUCAGCGAGAUAGUUCAAGAGAAUCAGCUCUGUUCUUUCAGUACCGCAACUUUGCAAGUCCACUACUACCAUACAGAAGGAUCACAAGUCAGUGUCCACUCUCCAGCAGCGCAGCAAGAACAAGGAGGAGGAGGAGGAGGAGAGAUGGCUGCUCCGGCGAAGGCGUCGUGGAUGGUGGCCAUGAGCGUGGGCGCUGUGGAGGCCCUCAAGGACCAGGCUGGACUCUGCCGCUGGAACUACGCACUCAGGUCCGUCCACCGGACAGCCAAGGCCAACGUUCGAGGCGGCGCCUCGCAGGGCAAGAAGCAGCUGCCUGCCUCCGCGGCAGCCGUGGCAGAGAGGCGGCGAGCGGAGAAUUCCGAGGAGGGGCUGAGGACGGUCAUGUACCUCAGCUGUUGGGGCCCAAAUUAGGAGUACUAGUAGCUAGGGCAUAGGGGCGCUUGUGUUCGUUGCAGCAAGAGUAACCUUGUACGAAGACAUGGCCUGAGAGACUUCCUGGUUGUCCCCAUGAUCGGUUGUAAAGAUACCAUGAUGAUGAUGAAAAUUUCGCCUACGAGUUUAUAUCACUGUCCUUGGUCAUGUGCAUCUUUGACUAUUUGUCUUGAGAGGAAGAAAGUUGAGAGUUACUCCGGGAGAGCAACUCAGGGAGGCGAGGUGAGAAGCAUACAGAAAACAGAGCAAGUUCAGCCGCCUGUACAAUACAACCCAAAACUCUGCACAAAGGAAUAAAGGAUAGAACGGAUCUUGGCGAUACACCCGGCUGCCCUCCAAGAUCUUCGUCUUGUCUGAUCAACUCGAACACCUCCAGGUCGCUGAAACGGUGGCUAUUAAUGAUUAUGGCGUCGCGUUCUGUCCAACAAAUUCUUCUCCAGUUGUUUUGAUUCGGAACAACAUGUAUAUGCUUUGCAUUGGUUGCAAGUACUUUCUGUUGCGCGAGUCGACCCGGCUCACAGCAAGUGCAGGGUUCAAGGGAUAGGGAUGCCACUGAAGCCAGUCGCCACUAAGGCAGAGUCGUCAUUCUCUAAAUAUGUUCUUUUUUAUUAGAACGAGCGCGACGGCACAGUGAAGCACAUCGCAAUGUGUCGGUGGAAACGACAUCUAUGGAAUCACGAGGAUCCCUUCUGCGGUUGGCGGGCGCGGGGUUGUGUAAAGAGCGGGUCUAGUAGUUAGCACAAGGAGAUUUUACCUAGGUUCGGGCCGCGUAGAUGCGUAAUACCCUAGUCCUGCUUUAAUGUAUAUUUGAGUGUUCUUGAGUUCUUGAUCUAGCUACGGUGCGUGCGUGGUUCAAAAAGUCCGAAUCCUCUCUCAGUACGCCGCGGGCCUCCUUUUAUAGUAAAAAAGGGGUUGCCACAGUGACACACAGGAGGUGGAAAGUUAUACAGUGCACAAGCUUAUCGCCUGGCAUCACAGGACAAAACGCAUUAAAUGCGCUAUUUAGGUCUCCUCUUGCUUUAUCAGGAACGGUAACAAAGCCCGUCCCGUCCGUCGCCGCUUCGCCUUGCUUCGACAUGCGUCCAGGCCAACGGGGCGUGCAGCGCCAUGUAGGCUGGCAGGCUGCUGAGCUGGCGCGGUGGCCACGAAGAUCUGCAUGCCACCACGCAGGUGCUUGUCUAGUUGGCUUAGGAGUCAUGUACUGCCACGUGGGUACUUGUUUAGUUGGUGGGUCGACCGCUGAGCUGGGGCGGCGACGGGGCGGCAAGGCCUUGCCGCGGUCGUGCUGAUAUUCCCGGCAAGGGUCUUGCCGGGGCCUUGUGAGCGCCCUCGGCAAGAGUCUUGCCGGGGCCUCGUAGGUGUCUUCGGCAGAAGUCUUGCCGGGGCCUCGUGGGCAUCCUCGGCAAGGAGCCUUGCUGUAGUCUUGUCUUCUGGUUCUCAUCUAGGCCUUGCAGGCUCUUUGUCUUCACAAAGAUCUGCAUGCCACCAUGCAGGCGCCUCCCGAGUCUUGGUUCCAAUGUUUGUCGAUGGUGUCGGAACUCUCAGGCUCAAGUGUGGGGGCCUCGCUGGAGUUGGGCAAGUUGCCCCUGCAAGGCUCUUGCCGGGGCUGUGUGGGCUGCCCCGGCUAGGGUCUUCCCGGGAGGAAGCCCAUCUUGUUGCCUCGUCGUCCGCGCCCCUGGUUGGAGCGCUGCUCUGGUAGUCUUGUACUUUUGCCUCCUUUGCCACGCCAAGCGUGGCCAUCGGCUCGUGGUUGUGACUGCGGGCGCACAAGUAAAGGGGUACCAAAAGGACCGCUAAUUUUGUACACCGACAGGAGCCCCCAGGCCUGGGCCACAUAUAAGUGCGGAGCGUUAUUGGGCCAGGCCCAGAAGAGUGCGCGGGUCCGCGUGUGGCGGAGUUUUACCGCAUUAAUUCCCUCGCCAGUUGCGCUUCCCCACGACCCGCGUUGAAUGCGUGACGUGGGGGUCGUGCGUGGAGUGAUUGCUGCACGCGCGCGUCCCAUCGUGGUAAAUGGUAAAGAGGCGGCCCGCGUCUCCCCUACAAAGAAUAGAGGAAGCUGCAGGGGCGCGGCUCAUUUACUAAGUGGACUCGGGUCAUGGCCAUUAUGGCAGCCUCGUCCUACUGUUAGAGUAGUCAUUAUGGUAUACGACUUCUAGUCCAAGUCAGUUUUGUAUCCCUACCCCAAGUCGGUUUGUACCCUCUUAUAUACUCUUGUAUGCCGCACCAAAUCAUCAAUAAGCAACAGUUUUAUUCAGCUUUCAUGGUAUCAGAUACCGGUCCUAGGGUUUAGGGUAUGGCUCCGCCAACGCCACCGCCACCGCCGCCGCCCGGCUACUUCGAGCGCCGGGCCGCACUCAUCGCCAAGGCUGCCAACGCCACGGCCGCUUCUCUCUCGGCCCUCACCAUAACUCCACAAAACUACCCUGCACCGAUCCUCGCCGCACCAAUAUCUCUUGCUGACACAAUCUCCGACGUCAGCCCCUACAUCCCCAUAGUUCUUGAUCUCGCUGCCCACAACUACUACCAUUGGAGACAUCUCUUCGAUCUCCACCUCGGCCGCUGCAACCUGCGCUCGCAUGUCACCGCCAACUGUCUUCCCCGCCCCGACGAUCCGCAAUGGUUGAAAGACGAUCUUGCGAUCGUCCAGUGGUUCUACACCCGCAUCACCACCGAGAUCUUCAACAUGCUCGAUCACGACGGCGCCACCGCUGCCAACAUCUGGCACUCCCUCCGUCAGCUCUUCCACAGCAACACCGACGCUCGGAAAAACGCUCUCCACACCGAGCUUCGCAAUAUGGUGCAAGGAGACGCCCGGUGAACCUGUUCUGCCAGCGCGUUAAGACCAUUAGUGAUGAGCUCCGCGAACUCGGCGAUACAGUUAGCGACUCACAGCUAAUCAAUAUCGUCGUCGUCGGCCUCAGCGAAGACUUUGACAAGCAAGCCUCGUUCAUACCGAUGAUACGGCCCCCUCCUACCUUCGCUGAAGUUCGUUCCUUGCUACAACUCGCGGAGGAAACACAAGCUCGCAAGGACUCUCGCCCCAAGGUCUUUCAUGCUGCGGCUCGUCCUCCUCUGUCGUCUACACCAGCGCCGCCUUCCAGGCCGGCUCCUGCCGCCGGGCCGUCCGCAUCGUCAUCUGUUGAACCGCCCCCAGGCUGGCGUCCUAGUCUGAACUACCGCGGCAAAAACCCUAUCUACAGGCCGCCGUCGACUCGUUCGGUUCCGCCUACGACAUCCCCAGCACCGAGUCCUGCACCACCCACCAGUGCUCCAUCUGCGGUUGCAUGGCGGCCUCCUCAUGAUCCUUGGACGGGGCUUGUUCAAGCAUGGCCCAUGCCCUGGUCCGCUCCGUCCACCCUCGGUGCUCCGCCGGCAUACUCAGGUGCCUGGCAACCCGGCCUUCGGCCGCCUACUGGUGCUCCCGGGGUUCUCAACCCCCGACAGCCGGCCAAUGCCUAUCACGCCGCCCCGACGUAUGCUCCUUAUGGUCAUUACAGCACCGACGGCGGCGCCUACUACACACCUCAGCCAGUCCUGCUCCCGACGCCACCCCCACCACAGCCGGCCAAUGCCUACUACACUCCCCAGCCGGCCCUACUGCCUUCACCAUCGUAUCCGCCGGCACCGCUUCCGACGCCACCCUCACCUGCGACGCCAAGCUGGGAUCAAGCUGCCUUUCUCCAGGCCAUGAAUAACUUUGCUGCACAAGGAAACUCAGGUACGGAUUGGAUCUUUGAUUCAGGGGCCUCUAGUCAUAUGUCUGCAUCUAGUAAUUGGUUAUCUUCUUGCACUAAAUCUCCUUUCCCUUCCAUUAUCCUUGGAGAUGGAUCAUCUAUUCCUAUAUAUUGUGUUGGUCAGGCUCAACUUCCCUCUUCCACCAAACCUCUUUUACUUCGCGAUGUUCUAGUUGCACCCGCCCUCAUUAAAAAUCUUAUCUCUGUUCGCCAAUUUACUUGCGACAAACUAGUUUCGGCUGAAUUUGACCCUUUUGGUUUAUCCGUGAAGGAUUACCUGACCAAGGCCGAGAUCGCUCACUUCAAUAGCUCCGGUGAUCUUUAUUCUCUUAAUGGAGUUCCUGCCGCUACCCCUCCAACAUCCAUGCUGGCCUCCGUCGAUCUCUGGCAUCGUCGCUUGGGCCAUCCCAACCCCGCCGUCUUAGCUUCUAUGCUUAGUGAAUUUACCAUACCAUGUCAUAGGGACUCUCAUAAUUCUGUGUUUUGCGAGUCUUGUCAAUUAGGCAAACAUGUGCAUCUUCCCUUUAGUUCCUCUAGUUCUUGUAGCACUUAUCCCUUUGAAUUAAUACAUUGUGAUUUAUGGACCUCUCCCAUUGCAAGUAUUUCGGGUUUUAAAUACUACCUUGUUAUCCUAGAUGAUUUCACCCACUUUGUCUGGACUUUUCCUCUACGCAACAAAUCCGAGGUCCAUUCUCUUUUCCUUAAUUUUCAACGCUAUGUGUCUGUUCACUUCUUCCUCCCAUUUCGCUUUAUCCAAUGUGACAAUGGUCGCGAGUUUGAUAACAUUAAAAAUCGUACUUUCUUCUUACAACAUGGCAUCCUGCUUAGGUUCUCAUGUCCCUACACCUCCCCUCAAAAUGGUAAAGCAGAACGCUCUCUUCGCACCCUCAAUGAUAUAGUUCGCACUCUCCUCAUUCAAUCAUCUAUGCCUCCCAAGUUUUGGGCUGAAGCCCUACACAUGGCCACCUUCCUUCUAAAUAUUCGACCUUCUAAAACUAAACCCAACACUACUCCCUAUUAUUCCCUCUUUCUUUCCCACCCCGACUACUCCGUUGUUCGUGUUUUCGGCUGUCUCUAUUUUCCCAAUGCCUACGCCACUUCUGCAAAUAAAUUGUCACCACGCUCUAUCCCAUGUGCUUUUCUCGGCUUCUCUGACGAGCACAAAGGCUAUCGCUGUCUCGACCUUCACACCGGACACGUUCAUGUCUCUCGUCAUGUCACGUUUGCUGAGCACAUUUUUCCUUUCUCACAACGCACUACUACACCAUCCAACACCCCUAGCUCCGCAAACACCCCCUCUUCCCGUCCUUUCCAACUAUAUACUCCCCUACCUGCCGAACACAACUUAUCACCACCACCAUUAACACCCACCAUAGCCAAUCCCAACCAUACACUCACCCCACCCGAGACGUCUCCAACUCCCCCGACCCCUGCUUCCUCCCCAACACCCCCGGCCCCUACUCCCACUCCACCACCCAGCCCUGCUCCCACUCCACCACCCAGCCCUACUCCUUCGUCCGACUCUUCCGCUGCGCCGGACUCACCAGUACCCACCUUACCCCCUCGUGCUAUUCCUACAGCAGCCCCGAUUAAUGAUCAUCGCAUGCGUACUAGGGCCAAAUCAGGAUUUCAUCAACCCCAAGACCGCCUAAACCUUCAUACCUCCGUAUCUCUCACUUAUCUUCCAAAGAAUUACAAAACUGCUCUACUUGAUCCCAAUUGGGCCGCUGCCAUGCAAGAAGAAUAUAAUGCUUUACUUCAAAACAACACCUGGCAACUUGUUCCUCAUCCUCCCAAUACAAAUAUUGUUUCUGGCAAAUGGAUUUUUUGCCAAAAGUUCCACUCCGAUGGGAGCCUCUCACGAUAUAAAGCCAGGUGGGUUUGUCGUGGCUUUUCUCAGCAACAAGGAAUUGAUUAUGAAGAAACCUUCUCUCCUGUUGUUAAACCUAGCACCAUUCGCACCGUUCUUAGUGUUGUUGUCUCCUCUUCAUGGCCCAUUCACCAACUUGAUGUUAAAAAUGCUUUCCUCCAUGGUUCCCUUCAAGAAACUGUCUACUGCCAGCAACCUCUGGGUUUUGAAAAUCCAUCCUUUCCAACUCAUGUAUGUCUUCUUCAGAAAUCUCUCUACGGUCUUAAACAGGCCCCACGAGCUUGGUUUCAACGCUUCUCCUCCUUCAUUCAAACAAUAGGCUUCACUCCAUCUCUCUCCGACACCUCUCUUUUUGUGUAUCAUCAAACUUCUGACACUGCCUAUUUACUUCUCUAUGUAGAUGAUAUCAUUCUUACCGCCUCCUCUCAAAAGUUCUUAGAUCAUAUUGUCUCUCUUCUUAGAUCUGAAUUUUCUAUGACUGACCUAGGACUCCUUCAUCAUUUCUUAGGCAUUGCUGUUGUUCGAGAUUCCUCCAGCCUUUUUCUUUCCCAACACCAGUAUAUUCUUGAUCUUCUUAAUCGUGCUGGUAUGCUUGACUGUCAAUCAUUCGCACUCCUAUCGAUACUAGUUUUAAACUUUCGGCUAUCGGUGAACCCUUUUCUGAUCCUACUCUCUAUCGUAGCCUAACAGGUGCUCUCCAAUAUCUCACCAUUACUCGUCUUGAAAUCUCUUUUGCUGUUCAACAAGCAUGUCUCUAUAUGCAUGAUCCCCGGGUUCCUCACUAUAAUCAUGUUAAACGCAAUCUUCGGUAUUUAAAAGGAACUCUCAAUCAUGGUCUCCACCUCAAUAAUUCUUCUCCAAACUCGCUUACCGCAUACUCUGAUGCAGACUGGGCUGGUUGUCCUGACACUCGAAGGUCCACUUCCGGUUUUUGUGUUUUUCUUGGUAACAAUUUGAUUUCUUGGUCUUCGAAAAGACAUGUUAUAGUCUCACGUUCGUCGGCCGAGGCUGAGUAUCGCGCUGUGGCACAUGCCGUUGCAGAUACCAUCUGGAUUCGGCAGUUACUCUCCGAGCUACACAGGCCUAUUGAGCAGGCCACUAUUGUCUACUGUGACAACAUAUCAGAGUCUACAUGACCAGCAAUCCAGUUCAACACCGACGCACAAAGCAUAUUGAGAUUGAUAUUCAUUUUGUUCGUGAAAAGGUUGCUCUUGGUCAGGUUCGGGUGCUUCAUGUUCCCUCUACGGCUCAGUUUGCUGACAUUUUCACCAAGGCACUGCCUACUAAGCCGUUUCAAGAUAUCUGUUUCAGUCUCAACGUCGUCGAGCCUGCCGUUGAUACUGCGGGGGGAUGUUAGAGUAGUCAUUAUGGUAUACGACUUCUAGUCCAAGUCAGUUUUGUACCCCUACCCCAAGUCGGUUUGUACCCUCUUAUAUACUCUUGUAUGCCGCACCAAAUCAUCAAUAAGCAACAGUUUUAUUCAGCUUUCACCUACGACCACGGGGGGCGAAACAGCCGUUCCACUUGUUAUCUGAAUUCUGGCUCUCCCGCCACGUGUCCUCCAUGCGUCGGGGAGGGCAGGCGGUGGACACAGAAGGUAUGGGCUUUAACGUCGGGGCGAGGGCCGGGCGUCGCUAAUUGGGGCAGCGGGUCGGUCAUGUCUCCUUGCGCCUCCGGCAGCUGCAUCGGUUGACUGGGGCGGUCGCCCUCAGGCUGGUUCGGCCCCGUCCCCCUAUAAAAAGGGGAGAGGGGCAGCACCUUCUCGCAUUCAUCCUCUGCCAGUUCAAUCCCUUCCCUUCCCUUGUCAUGGCGAGAGGGUGCGGCGGCGCUCUAGCGGUGGCGACGAGGGCUUCUGCUCAACAGCGUGUCCCCCUCCUCCGGAACUCAUGGUGGCGGAGCCCGCAGUGAGAGGAGGAGGGAGGGGGCGAGGCCGAGGUCGCCGUGGCGCUCGGGGAGAGGAGGACGGGGCGGCGCACCGGCCGUGCUCCCGCCAGCGGCUCCUCUCCCAAUGGAGGGCCACGUCGAAGAUCAGCCUCGCGAGUUCUUCAUCAGGCUGUACAAGCCGGUGUGCGGUCAUCUUCGCCUCCCCACCCCGUUCGCUUGGGAGAUGGAGCUCGACCCGCCAGAAUCCUUGAGAUUGCACAUAAGGGGCUGUGGGAUUGGCGCCAUACAGGUUGAUGUCGACUUCCCCGCCCCUCACAUUAUGUAUCUCCGUCAUUGGUGGAAGACCUUUGCUCGUGCCCAUAGCCUGUCGGAGGGGCACGUUCUCCAGUUCAAAUUAAUGGAGAACGGCCUGCUCUCCAUCAAGGUUUUUGGGCGUUCGGGAAUCAGGUUAGGGUGCUGUGCGGAGAGCUCGACCAAUGACGAAAGCUCCUCCUCGAGCGAAAGUGAUGAGGAGGACACCGAUGGGGAAGACGACGGGGACGGGUCCGACUAAGUGUCGGACAUGCCGUCCCCGGGCGACGUCGACAGCACCAUCAUCUGCACCUGGCCUUCCCCUAGGCAGAGCGAUUUGCUGGGGGUGGGGCCAGCUCCUUGAACUUCUCGGGGUUGUCGCCUUGGGCGGCUGGCGUUGGGAGGCCGGAGAAGAUGAAGAAGGCGGGUGGCGGGCCGUCAAGUCGGAGUACGAUGGCACCGACGCCUUCAUCGCGUAUUGCCGCCCCGCUGCCUCAUCUUCCGGCUCUUCUCCCGGCACCAUCAUCACCAGCUCUCUUCUGGACGACCGCCGGAUGUUCUCUUGGUGUCUUGUGCGGCUCGUACCUCGCCUAGGCACUUCUUUUGCCCUCCCACAAUCUUGAUCCAUUUCCUGAGGAGAGGGACAAGAAAGGGAUUACGGGUAACUUAUCUCUUUUUAGUUUUUAAGCCUGCGGGCAUUUGCCAGAUUUAAACUUUGUAAUCCCCUUGUUCAUGUUCACAUUCCGUAUGAAUUGUACUUGUUAACAACAUAUUAACGAAAGAGGGUUCUUGCCGGGUCCUUUUGUGUGCGACCGGAUCUCACACAAAGGAACGAGCCCUUGUUAUCUUAAGAUAAACAUCGUCACCCAGCAACAGACCUUGUCGUCCUCCCGCUCCAUAGCCCGACCACGCUCACGCCCUUGGCGGAGGUAGGGGCAAAGUAGGAUUAGGCCCUUCAUUUUGUUCCCUUUCCAUCGCACUACAACCAAGUUCCGGCCAAAGAAAGGUUUUUGGACGCGGGAAAGAGGGAGCACGGCGGUAUAGGAGUAAGUGAAGCUUCAUAUGUUCAAGUCUCAUACGGAAGCGUAGAGUGGGGGAUGAAAAACUUAUCUGAUUCUGCAGCCCCCGGCAAUCUUGGCUUGCCGUGGUUGGAUAUCUGGAUCUGCAGCCCCCAGCAACCUUGGCUUGCCGGCGUUAGGGCGUCGACCUGUUCCCUUUCUUCCAAACAGCUCAGCAGAAAACGCCCGCGCAUCCUGCGAACUAAAACAAAGGACGGGAAGGAACAGAAGAAAGACGCAGACUCGACCUCUAUGCUAAGGGUUAGUCGUCGCCAAGCACUAUCAACCCUAACAAAGAGGGAGACUCAACCUAGCAUGCAUGCUAAAACUUAGGGCGCCAGCGCUUCAUCUAUUUAUGCUCAGGGUCUGCGCCUGGCUUUGUACAAAGGGAUACAUGCCUCGCCGGCAAGGCUUGUACAAAAGGUGGUCUGCCCGGGGGCCAGGCAACCGCGCCUUACGGGUAAAACUUGCGAAGAUGUUCGAUGUUCCAGGAGUUGCUCACUGGAAUACCAUAUUCGGUCUCCAGGCGGACUGCGCCGGGCCUGGUGACUCGUAUUACCUGAUAAGGGCCUUCCCACUUCGGCGUCAACUUGUUGGAAUUCUUGGCCGACUGAGCGUGCCGAAGAACAAGGUCGCCUUCCUCAAAGCUUCGGGCAUAAACCUUGCGGCUAUGGUAGCGGCGCAAGGCUUGCUGGUAGCGUGCUGCUCGCACAGCCGCCCGAAGACGAUCUUCCUCAAGGAGCGUUGCGUCAUCUUUCCGCAAUUGCUCUUGCUCCAGCUCAUCAUAAGUGAGCACUCGGGGUGACCCGUAUGUGAGUUCCGUGGGGAGAACUGCUUCUGCCCCGUAAAUGAGGGAGAAGGGCGUCUGGCCGGUGGCUCGACUUGGUGUCGUUCUGAUUGACCAAAGAAUCGUCGGCAAUUCAUCAAUCCAACGCCUUCCGCACAUGUGUAGCCUGUCAAAAGUCUUUGUCCGGAGGCCCCGCAGUACUUCAGCAUUUGCCCUCUCCGCCUGGCCGUUGCUCCGUGGAUGUGCAACAAAAGCAAAACAGACGUUGCUGCCGAGGUCUUGGAUGUACUGCAUGAAGGUGUGGCUUGUGAACCGCGUGCCGUCACUGGUGCGCAUCGGUCCUAAACAAACGGUUUAAAACCCCUUUCCGCGACGGCAUUUGGAACCGUCGCCAAGUGAGUGUGGGCGAUAGGGGGGGUCCUUCCCACACGACCCAGAAAUCGUCGGGGAUAGGCCCUCGUGGGACCCAGGCUGGGGCCGUGUGCGAUCGGGCAAGGCAUGGAAACCAAAUAUGUACAUCCCACACGGUGAAUCCCAGAAAUCAUUUCCAUAGGUAUGUACAUCCCACACGGUGAAUCCCAGAAAUCAUUUCCGUAGGUAUGUACAUCCCACACGGUGAAUCCCAGAAAUCAUUUCUGUAGGUAUGUACAUCCCACACGGUGAAUCCCAGAAAUCAUUUCCAUAGGUAUGUUCAUCCCACACGAUGAAUCCCAGAAAUCAUUUCCGUAGGUAUGUACAUCCCACACGGUGAAUCCCAGAAAAUCAUUUCCGUAGGUAUGUACGUCCCACACAGUUCUUUGUGUGGAAACGUGUGUGCAAGGUGGCCUAACGCAAACAGUUCGCUGCCGGAAGCCGUGUAUGAUUGUUAGUUGAUCGAACACGCCUACUUUCUAGAAACCGUGCGGGUUGUUUGAGUUCAUCGCCCACGGUGCUGUCUGAGUAACCGUCUGCAAUAGAAAACCCCAAUAAGCAGGGUAAUUAGCCUAUUAUUGAUAAUCCAUGUACUAAUCAAACUGAUAUUUCUUAUAAAACACGCCAGAUAUUUCAUAUCCGAAUAAAAGCAACCAGGAUUUCAUAAUGGAAUUACAUCAGAUAGCUUCGGCACUCAGUUACACCAUUACACAGCAGCACCAAGCUUCACAUGCAGCAUCAAAAACCUUUGGAAAGUAGCAUCAUACACGUAAAUAGACAGAUGAAUCUCAUCUGGGAAACUGCAGAAGCGGAAGACAAAUAUUGAGCCUUCAGUGAUGUUGAAUGUCCUUGCAACUUUAGGCCAGUGGCUAUGGAUAAUUGCCCGCCCAACCUUUGUCCUCUUCAGCAAGACUUCAAUAUUGUACCGUGGGUGUUGAAUGAAUACCUUCCUCGCCUCUUGACCAUGCAGGUAGUUUGAGAACUAAUCAUCGGUGAACUGCAUUGAAAAGUACUGAAAACAAAGCUAUGCAUAAAUCACUGUUGUAAAUUUUGAAAUGGCGCAAGGGGUAAAAACAAGGUAAAAGAGUUGGUACCAUCCUAUAGUUGACUGAUGUCUUCUUCAUUGUGCAAACAAAGAUCUUGCUGUUAUUCCUCGCAAGUUUCUUCAUCCUAACAAUCUUUCUGAGUUUCUUGACUUGACUGAUAUUCAUGGACAUCUCAUUUCCCCAUAUGCAAAAUGGGUCGAACAGUGGGUCUAAGCCUCUGACAGCAGGACCUACAUGUGCAAGACCAAAUUGUAAGAAACCUAAAUAUUAGAAUGAUUCCUGCAACUGCACAAUAAUGUGCUAUUAGCCAAAGGACCCUGCUUGAACAAACCUCGACGGUAAACCGCAGUGUCUCCCAUUGUUUCCCUGCAACACACAUAAGGAAGAUCUUGAUCAGGUUAACUGAGAGUUGCCAUACUAUCAGUAGAAUAUGUAUUGAGUACAGCCAAAUGCGAUUGGUGUCACAUGCAUAACAAUACAAAAUUGUACCCACAGCAAAUGAAAAUCAAAUUGCAGAACUGAACCAAACAGUUAAAUGGACAGCAAACCAAAUGAACCAAAAUAGUUAACUGAGCACGACAUUGCAGAAUAGAAACAUGUACUAGAAGAUAAGAUAGUUAACAAAACAAGGAAUGCUUGAGAACAGUACUACGAAAUGUAGCAAUUGUUGGACCAAAGUGUUAACUGAACAUUACAUUUCAGAGGACCAAACUGUUAACUGAACAUCAGAUUGCAUAUUAACAUUACAGAGAACAAAUCACUAGAAGGCACUGGCAGUGGCCACGAGAAAACAUCACGAACUGUAUUUUAAAGUAGACAACCGCGCGGCGGUGUCGACAGUGGCCUCGAAGACAAGGUGCUCCUCCAAGAUAUGGCGGUCGACACGCAUGUCAGCCAUAGUGACCUCGUUCGCGCAUGCGGCCGCAUACUAUUCAGCUCCACGUUAUACUGCGUGUAAAAUGCAUGGUUGUGGGUGGCGCUUAAUUGGAGGAGGGGGGCAGUGAUUUUGGUGGAAGGUGUCGCUCCAUCAGUCGGGGCAUGUGGGACGGGAAAGGAGGAGGAUGGCGUGGGUGGGGUGUGGAUUACCUGACCAUAUCGACAAGGCCGCGCAGCAAGAAGAAGGGUCGGUGGCGAGGAGGCUGCGCAGCAAGAAGAAGGGUUGCCGGCGAGGAGGCGGCGCUGCAAGAAGAAGGGUCGCCGGCGAGGAGGCGGCACUGCAAGAAGAAGGGUAGCCGGCGAGGAGGCGGCGCUGCAAGAAGAAGGGUCGCCGGCGAGGAGGCUGAGCUGCCAGUAAGCAACAGUGAAGGUUUGAACUUGGAAAGCAAGGAGGAACAUUGGAAAUGUGGCUUUUGGUAGGAGGGAGGGGGCGGGGAGAUAGAUAUUUCCGCGGUGGCAAAAAAAAUUCGCUCGGUGUCGCGAGAAACUGGCGCGCAAGUGUGGUUCAAGCGGGGGCGGUGGACUGUAGUUGACGAAGCUUCCUGCGUAAGCCAGACAAGACGGUGCGCCAAGAUAUUUUAUAUCGCCUCCCACACGAUUCUUUCUAGUAAACUGUUUGUGGUAUACCUGAUUUUUUCAUUAUGUUUUGAAAGACAAAAUGGUGUUACGGAGGGAAAGGAUGGUGUUUGAAUUGCUAGAACAUUUACGUACAGUGAAUAUGCAACUAGUACAUAAGUGUCGUGUUUAAAUUUGGAAUUAUUCCGGGUUCGUUUGGCAUUUUUAUGCAUUAAUUGAGUUUCUGGGCAUUUAAUGUGCAUAAUUCAAAUUUGAACUACAAGCACAUGCUUCAGUGCACCAUAGUUGUUUGAAAAAUCACAUGUGUGUCCUUGGGUGAAUUUUUAGGUCACAUGCAAGAGAUGGGAGUGAAAUUCAAACAUCUGGGCAUCGUGGCUCGACCGAAAAUAUUGAGAAACUUGGUUUUUUAAUUCCUGUAAUUCCAAAAAACGCCUGAAAAUCAUGAAACUUGGCAUGGUCUCAUGGCAUGGCACGAACAUGCUGCGUUAAUUUUUUUGGCCGAAUUGGGACAAGCUUUGGUGUAAGCUUCUUGCAAACCAGAGCUUCCCUCAAGAAGGCUCGUGGUUCCGAGAGGGAACGUGCCACCUUCGUGUGCGAAAUGACAUACGUACACUGCCUUCUUCCGCCUUAACUUUUUUGCACAUCCAGAUUAGACCAAAUAGAAGUACUGUGCUAAAUUUUGGAAUUAUUCCGGGCUCGUUUCGCCUUUUUUAUACAUUAAUUGAGUUUUUGGGCAUUUAAUGUGCAUAACUCAAAUUUGAACUACAAGCACAUUCUCUAGUGCACCAAAGUUGUUUGAAAAAUCACAUGUGUGUCCUUGGGUGAAUUUCUAGGUCCCAUGCAAUAGAUGUGAGUGAAAUUCAAACAUCUGGGGGUCGUGGCUCGACCGGAAAGAUUGAGAAACUUGAUUUUUUAAUUCCUGUAAUUCCAAAACACGCCUGAAAUUCAUGAAACUUGACAUGGUGUCAUGACAUGGCACCAACAUGCUGCGGUAAUAUUUUUUGCCAAAUUGGGACAAGCUUUGGUGUAAGCUUCUUGCAAACCGGAGCUUCCCUCAAGAAGGCUCGUGGUUCCGAGAGGAAACGCGUCACCUCCGUGGUGAAACGACAUACGUACACUGCCUUCUCCCGCCUUAUUUUUUUUACACAGCCAGAUUAGACCAAAUAGAAGUACCGUGCUAAAUUUUGGAAUUAUUCCGGGCUCGUUUCGCCUUUUUUAUACAUUAAUUGAGUUUCUGGGCAUUUAAUGUGCAUAAUUCAAAUUUGAACUACAAGCACAUGCUCCAGUGCACCAAAGUUGUUUGAAAAAAUCACAUGUGUGUCCUUGGGUGAAUUUCUAGGUCCCAUGCAAGAGAUGGGAGUGAAAUUCAAACAUCUGGGCGUCGUGGCUCGGCCGAAAAUAUUGAGAAACUUGAUUUUUUAAUUCUUGUAAUUCCAAAAGACGCCUGAAAAUCAUGAAAUUUGGCAUGGUGUCAUGACAUGGCACCAACAUGCUGCGGUAAUAUUCUUGGCCGAAUUGGAACAAGCUUUGGUGUAAGCUUCUUGCAAACCGGAGCUUCCCUCAAGAAGGCUCGUGGUUCCGAGAGGGAACGUGUGUCACCUCCGUGUGCAAAACGACAUACGUACAUUGCCUUCUCCCGCCUUAUUUUUUUACACAGCCAGAUUAGACCAAAUAGAAGUACCGUGCUAAAUUUUAGAAUUAUUCCGGGCUCGUUUCGCCUUUUUUAUACAUUAAUUGAAUUUUUGGGCAUUUAAUGUGCAUAAUUCAAAUAUGAACUACAAGCACAUGCUCCAGUGCACCAUAGUUGUUUGAAAAAUCACAUGUGUGUCCUUGGGUGAAUUUCUAGGUCCCAUGCAAGAGAUGGGAGUGAAAUUCAAACAUCUGGACGUCGUGGCUCGGUCGGAAAGAUUGAGAAACUUGGUUUUUUAAUUCCUGUAAUUCCAAAACACGCCUGAAAAUCAUGAAACUUGGCAUGGUGUCAUGACAUGGCACCAACAUGCUGCGGUAAUAUUCUUGGCCGAAUUGGGACAAGCUUUGGUGUAAGCUUCUUGCAAAUCGGAGCUUCCCUCAAGAAGGCUCGUGGUUCCGAGAGGGAGUGUGUCAUCUCCGUAUGCGAAACGAUAUACGUACACUGCCUUCUCCUGCCUUAUUUUUUUACACAGCCAGAUUAGACCAAAUAGAAGUACCGUGCUAAAUUUUGGAAUUAUUCCGGGUUCGUUUGGCCUUUUUUAUACAUUAAUUGAGUUUCUGGCCAAUCAAUGUGCGUAAUCCAAAUUUGAACUACAAGCACAUGCUCCAUUGCACCAUAGUUGUUUGAAAAAUCACAUAUGUGUCAUUGGGUGAAUUUCUAGGUCCCAUGCAAGAGAUGAGAGUGAAAUUCAAACAUCUGGGCGUCGUGGCUCGGCCGGAAAGAUUGAGAAACUUGGUUUUUUAAUUCCUGUAAUUACAAAACAUGCCUGAAAAUCAUGAAACUUGGCAAGGUCUCAUCGGGAGAUGCCGUGCGGGGUAGCUAUUUGAGUACGGGAGGCGUGCGAUCAGACCCCUGAGCGUGCUCAUCGGGAGGAGAGCCCUUUGACCCCUACCCGCCGCACACCUCCCUCCCAACGUCUCCAUUAAUGGCACCCGAGCACCUAUUCUACGGCGUGGCUAUAUGUCUCACUGGACUGAGAUUUAAGAGAGAAAAAUGAAAAUCUGAAAAGAAAGUUUUGCACGGAUCUUGAUGUAAGAUUCGACGGACCUAUAUAGAAUUGACUGCGACUUAUAGCAAGCAUGGUGAAUAUAAGGACGAUGACAGUGGAUAAUAAUUGUCUUACAUAUUUAGAAACAUAAUUAAAAAAAGCCACAUGCGGCAACGCCCGAAAUACACAAGGGCAAAAGAAGAAGGAAGACAACGAUCUGGCUCGCUGGUCUCUACUUUCUUGAUGCGUUGCUGCAGGCCGCGGGAACUAGUCUCCUUGGCGAGCGGCGACGAGCUCUUUCUUGUCCUCAAGAUGCUGCUUGAGAGCAUCCACGGAUUCCUCCACCAGCCUUCUGCGCUCGAUGCGCAGCUUGUUAUUCUCGUCCAUAAGUUUCUCGACGAUGACGCCGGUCCUCUUCAACAAGGCAGUGGUCUGCUCCUGCUGCUCCGCACUUCCGACAAUAUUCGCCCUCAGCGGGUCGCGCUCGGCCUGGAGCUUCGCAUUGCUCUCAUUUAGUUGCCGGAUGAUGUCGGUAGACUGUUCAAACGAGGCAUGCAGGUCAUCCUGCAACCUCACCCACCCGGAGAUCUAAUCCAUCUGCCUAUGGACGAGGGCACGCAUGCGCCUGUAAGAGUCCUCGCCUGCCCGCGAGGCAUUUUCCCAGGCCGCGGCGGCAAGGGAGGACAUCUCUACUGCAUUCGCGGCGCGGUGGGACAUCUCUUCUGCUUCCGCGGCACGGCCGGACCAGUCUGCUACAUCGACGGUGCGACGGGUCCUCCGUGUUGCUUCGGCAGUGCGGCGGGACCUCUCUGCUGCUACUGCCGUGCGGCAGGACAUGUUGGAUGCUAUCGCGGCGAGGCGGGACAUCUCUCGUGCCCCCGCUUCCAGGUUCGCCUCUCCCUAGUCGCAAUCUCUCGACCCAGAACUGACGCUGGCCAUGGCGGAUGCAAGGGAACGAUGAUGAAUGACUUGUUUGUUUUUGACUUUUUGUGGAUGAGGAGUUGAGGAGGAAUGUGCAGUCAUCUUGGAGUAGUAGUAUUUAUAACCGCGUAGUAAUACGCUCCUAAGUGGGAAACCGUUUAGGUUUUGAUCAGUGUGAACAGGUUUGCAAUUUGGAAUGUGAUGGGACGCCUGCUCAAAAUUUACUGACGGUUAUAAGUGCGGCACUAUUCCAGGAAGGCGUAACGUGGGCACGUACGCCUUCUCGGCCGCCUACGUGGCGUUUGCACCAUAGGGUGCACCGCAAUAGGCAAUGUCAGCACAUGUCUUUUAAUUAGAAUGGGUGUGCCCGUCUAGCGCACAUACGUUGAUCUAUCUAACUAUUUCAGUUUGUUGUGGCUAAUCGCAAACAGUUCAUCCAUGUGAAGUGUAUGCCAUCGAUCGCAGACACUUUGAUCUGGCUUACCCGUUUCUGUUCUACUGCCUAAUCGCAAACAGUUAAUCCUUCUGAAGCGUAUGCCCUCAAUCACACACACCUUGAUCUGGCUGACCGUUUCUUUUGUGUUGCCUAAUCACAAAUAGUUCAUCCGAGUGAACCGUAUGUUGUAUAUCGCACACACCUUCAUCUGGCUGCCCGUUUCUUUUGUGUUGCCUAAUCACAAACAGUUCAUCCGAGUGAAUCGUAUGCUCUAUAUCGCACACGCCUUCAUCAGGCUUCCCGUUUCUUUUGUUCCGCCUCAUCGCAAACAGUUCCUUGGACUGAACCUUAUGCCCUGGAUCGCACACGCAACUAAAAUCUGAACCGUGUUUGAUGCAUCCUCCAUCGCAAACGUUUUCACCUUUUUGACGGUUUUCAUACAGCACCGUUUGCGAUUAUGUUAUCGCACACAGUUUCUCGAAGGGUCUCUGAUCGUAGUGUCGCGUUAGCAGCAUCCUACAGUAGUGCGUUGUCGGUGAUGACUCUAUUUGGCACACCAAAACGGCAGACUAGCCCCUUGAAGAACUUCACGGCUGAUUGUGCUAUCACCUUUCUCACUGCUUCCACUUCCGGCCACUUCGUGAACUUGUCGAUGGCAACGUACAAGUACUCAAAGCCCCCGACAGCACGGGGAAAGGGGCCCAGUAUGUCGAGCCCCCAGACCGAGAAUGGCCAGGAAAGAUGGAUGUUUUGGAGAGCUUGAGCUGCUUGAUGAAGCUUCUUUGAAUGAAACUGACACGCUUCACACUUAGUUACUAGUGCCGUUGCAUCCUGGAGGGCAGUGGGCCAGAAGAAACCUUGCCGGAAUGCCUUGCCGUCAAGGGCUCUCGACCCUAUGUGGGAGCCACAUAUGCCUCUGUGUAUCUCUGCCAACAGCUCCAGUCCGUCCUCCCGGGGAAUGCACUUCAAUCUCAAACCGUUUGGUCUUUUUCUGUACAAAAUGUCGUCAACGAAUUGGUACAUGGCAGACCGACGGGCUACUUUCUGCGCUUCUUCCUGCUCCCCAGGGAGCUUCCCUGUUUGGAGAAAUCGAACGGUAUGUUGUGCCCAUGCCGGAGCCUGAGGCUCGACGGCAAGGACUAAAGGCAUCUCUUCUGCUGUGGGAGCGGUCGUCUCUAUGGCAAGGGCUUGAGGCCCUGCCGGAGACUGUUGCUCCUCGGCAAUCUUAGUGUCUCCGGCAACAUCCUUGCCGGCGGCUCCUGGGAGCUCGACGGGAAAGUACUUGCCGGGGCUCAACUUCCUUCGCUUAUCCUGCCUUGCCGAUGGUUCCACGGACGGCUUAGUUAGUUGGAGCACAAAGGUCCCUAGUUCCACAGGUAACUUUAAGCCAGCACGUUUUGACAGGUCCUCAGCAAUGUUGUUCUCUGCUCGAGGAACAUGCUCUGCUUGCAGACCGUCAAAACGUUCCUCCAACUUUCUCACUUGAUCUACGUAGGCCUCCAUCAACGGGCUAUGAUAAUCUUUGUUGGCUUGACGACAAGCUGUGAGUCACCUCUGACGAUGAACUUCCUUAUUCCGAGGUCCGCCGCAAUCCUGAGACCGGCAAGCAGCCCUUCGUACUCAGCGGUGUUGUUCGUUGACCUCUCCCUGGGAAAGUGCAUCUGGACUACAUACUUGAGGUGCUCUCCGGUGGGUGCAACAAGCAGCACACCAGCACCGGCGCCUUGCAGCGAGAAAGCCCAUCAAAGUACAUAAUCCAGUCGCGACUUGUUUCCUUGCCGAGGAGAGUAGUCUCUUGAACCUCUUCGUCGGGUGUCGAGGUCCAUUCCGCAAUGAACUCCGCCAAGACUCUACUCCGAAUUGUUGUAGUACUCUCAAACUUCGUACCAAAGCUCGACAGUUCCAAUGCCCAUUCCACAAUCCUCCCGGUUGCAUCUUAGUUGGGUAAGAUCCUUUGCAACGGGAGGCGGGUGACGACGGUGAUCUCAUGUGCUUGAAAAUAAUGACGCAACUUCCUCGAGGCCAUAAGGAGGCCGAAGAGCAAUUUCUGCACACCGGAGUACCUUGAUCUAGCCCCCUGCAGGAGGGAACUAACAAAGUAAUCUGGGUGCUGCAUCAUCUUCUUCUUCUGUACCACUUCAUUUGCUUGUGCCGUUUUCGCCCCGCCGGCAUCAGACUCUGCCGGGGGUCCUGUCGGUGUCAAAACCGGCGGAUCUCGGGUAGGGGGUCCCGAACUGUGCGUCUAAGGCGGAUGGUAACAGGAGGCGGGGGACACGAUGUUUACCCAGGUUCGGGCCCUCUCGAUGGAGGUAAUACCCUACUUCCUGCUUGAUUGAUCUUGAUGAUAUGAGUAUUACAAGAGUUGAUCUACCACGAGAUCGUAGAGGCUAAACCCUAGAAGCUAGCCUAUGGUAUGAUUGUUGUUGUCCUACGGACUAAACCCUCCAGUUUAUAUAGACACUGGAGGGGGCUAGGGUUACACAGAGUCGGUUACAAGGGAGGAGAUCUACAUAUCCGUAUUGCCAAGCUUGCCUUCCACGGCAAGGAGAGUCCUAUCCAGACACGGGACGAAGUCUUCAAUCUUGUAUCUUCAUAGUCCAACAGUCCGGCUAAAGUAUAUAGUCCGGCCGUUCGAGGACCCCCUAAUCCAGGACUCCCUCAGUAGCCCCUGAACCAGGCUUCAAUGACGAUGAGUCCGGCGCACAGAUUUGUCUUCGGCAUUGCAAGGCGGGUUCUUCCUCCGAAUACUCCAUAGAAGAUCUUGAACACAAGGACAGUGUCCGGCUCUGCAAAACAAAUUCCACAUACCACCGUAGAGAGAAUGAUAUUUCCACAAAUCUAAUCUGCUGACACAUUCGGCAGCAUGACAUCAUACCACGGCCCGGUCAUUAUUCGAACCGUUUUUCUCAACCAGCUAUUGCACAUAUUGCGAGGAGGUUUUCUUGGCACGUCUUGUUGAAGCAGAGAUCGUGUCCCCUUAUCACGGGAUUCUCAUCAAUACGGAUGUGGGUAACCCAACCGCGCCAUCAAUUACGACGCUUGGGGAAUAAGCGAGUUUUAGUAGGCAGGUGGGGAGGCGUAUAGUUUCUUCCGCCCUUAUAAAGGGACAAGGAUUCCUCUUUUUACCCACGCCUUCUUCCUCCUUGCUCACCCAUUCGUGCGCACUCGAGCUCCAGCACGCAGGUUCACGUUUUUCUCCUCAAACCACUCCAAGCAUGUCCGGAGCAGGAGGCAAGUGGAUGGUCUCCUCCGUCACGGAGGAGAACAUCACAAAGCUACGGGGAGCUGGAUAUCUGGCCGCGGACAUCGCACACUGGCUGCCAGAUGCGGGGCAGAUCAUCCCUACUCCAGAACCCCAUGAGAGGAUGGUUUUUCUUACCCACUUCGUCCGUGGACUGGGAUUUCCCCUCCACCCGUUUGUCCGCAGGCUCAUGUUCUAUUAUGGGAUGGAUUUUCACGACCUGGCCCCCAAUUUCAUCCUCAACAUCUCGGCGUUUAUCGUCGUGUGCGAGGCCUUCCUCCACAUCAAGCCCCACUUCGGCCUGUGGCUGAAGACCUUCAAUGUUAAGCCGAAGGUGGUGGUCGGCCAGCAAGCAAAGUGCGGAGGCGCCAUGGUGGGCAAAAUGCCUAACGUCACCUGGCUCAAAGGCUCCUAUGUGGAGACCAUAAAGGGGUGGCAAUCGGGGUGGUUCUACAUCACCGAGCCGCACGACACCAACUGGGUGGCGGCCCCCGAAUUCCGAUCCGGAAUCCCCACGCGGCUCACCUCCUGGAAAGAGAAGGGCCUGUCCUGGGGUUCCUCGGUAGAGCUGACCGGACUCCAGACAUGCAUCAAAAACAUGAUGAGCAAGAAAAUCAAGCUUGUCAACGUGGUCCAGGUCAUACUCUUCCACCGGAUCCUCCCGUGUCAAUGACGGGCAUUCAAUUUGUGGGAGUUCGACCCGGCCGAGCACCAGACGCUGUGAGAGCUCUUCGACACGACGCACAAGGACGUCUGGAAGGUGCUGUUCAAGGGCGCCGAGGUACCUCCUCCCCUUACCGAGGACCGCGGACUCAGCGCAAAGCGCCCUGCCAAUCCGGUAAGUUUUUUUAUAUCUCAUAAGAUGUUUAUUUUCCCCAGUUUAACCAUGUGCGGGAUCUAAGCCUCCACGCUAUUUAACAGGACUGGGUAGAGACAUCGGAGCAGAUUGAUUGCCCAGCCCCCCUUCCUGAAGAUCCAGCAGAUGCUCUCCUAACGGAGAUGCUGGUUCCGGCGCCUUACAAGGUGCCGGUGAAGAAGGCCAAGAAGAAGGCCACGGGGACCCGGAAGGGUCUCCGGCGCAAGGUUAUAUCGGACUCAUCGUUCGAAAACAUCGAGGCGUACUCCUCCCACGAAAACGAGGAGGAGGAAGAGGAAAGUUCUCCCCCCCAGCCGGUGGAGACAAGAAAAGGAAGGCCGCCCCAUCCGGGGAGGCCAAAGGGUCCAAGAAGGGAAGGACCCUCCUCCUGGACUGCUCCACGACGGCCGCCUAUAGCGACGACGAGUGGUUGCCCAGGGACAAGCCCCUGGCGAAGUCGUAAGUAUCCGGAUACCAUAGUAAUUCAUGGUAUGUUUUAUUGUACUGCCUCUCAUCACGCUGAACAUGAUUAUGCAGUCCGUCCUGAGCCCGCAUCGACGUAUCUUUGUCGGAUGAUUCUUUGGGCCUAUCGGACCUGAGCAGUGAUUCUCUCCCUACCGCCUUCUCCCCCCGCCCUACGGACAACGCCGAGGUGUUGUCCCAAAGGGAACUGAACCAGGGGGGACAGUUCCGGAGGCGCCUCAAGGCGACAUUCCGGGCGCUGGGCGCACGAGGGGCAAGACUCCCCCGGGCCCUAACGCCGGGGGCAGCAAGUCUAGCCCCAAUCCGAAUACGGUGCCGGAACCUCCAGUGGUUCCUGAUUCUGUCAGGCAACCCCUCGCUAAGAGGGGCAAGCUGUCUGUGUCGGUGGCCUCUGUCCAUCUAGAGGCACCGGACAACUUGCUGGAAGCGCUUCACGGCGCUUCCAUCGACGAAGAGCACCGCACUAUCAUGAGUGCGGUGAUCGAGAAGGUUCAGUCCGCCAAAAGCGGGCUAACUGAAGCCUGUGCCAGCCUCCUAACAGGCUUUCAGGAAAGUAAUCAAAUUAUAAGAAAAUAUUACCGCAUAGACAGUAGCCCCUGAUGCUCUGUUUGGCGUUCGCGAAGAAAGGCCGAAUAGAGGAUCAAAUAAUGACCGCAGGAGUCUAAUCAGAAUAUGUCUAUGUGCAUAUGCAGGCUUCAUUGCUGGCCGCUGCCGCACGCACUGCGGAGGUCGCUGCACUGAAGCAGGACCUUGAGUGGUCCAAGGAAGAGCUCGGCCUUACCAAGAGGCAGCUCGAAGAGAACAAAGGUAAGCGAUACCCCGUCUGUAUAUUAAAAAGAAAUUUGGUUGUAAAAUAAUAGGAUCGCCAUGAAUGUUGCUAGGGGCCACUGUCGAAGUGGCGACCCUUCAGAAGGCGCUAUCCGAGGCCGAAGACAAAGCGGCCAAGGACCGCAUCAAGCGAGAAAAGCAAGAAGCCCGGGUGGGCGAGGUGCAGCAAGAGCUCCAGGCUCUCACCAAAAAACAUGAGUCCUUGGAGCUUGACUCUAAGACGCGAGAGUCCGAGCUUGCGAAGGCCCUCGAAAGCGCACAAAAUGCCAAGGCCGAAGCCCAGAAGGCCCUCUACGAAAUUGAGGCGGUUAAGAAGAUAGCAGCGGGUAAGGCAUUCAUUAUGCAAAGCAAGCAUGUGAAGGAAACUUUCCUUUUACUUACCCGAGUUCGGAGCUCUCCAGGAGCGUUCGCAGAUCUUCCCCGCAGUGUGUUGGAUGCCGUGGAGUUCUACCGGGCUGAGGAGGGGAGCUCGACGGAGAAGUUGUUCUGGUCUCAGUAUACUGGGGCCGAACACCCAAUGCCCUUGAGCGACCAGAUGAAGCAACUGGUCGAGCUCCACAAGGCGGCCGAACAGGCCAUGAAGGGUCUUAUAGCCCGGAUGUGGCCUGGCGAGCCCCUGCCUGAUAGCUACUUCGGUCUCAUGAGGCAGCUUGUGAACGCCUGCCCACGGCUUGAAGUCAUAAAGCGGUCCGUCUGCAUCGAGGGUGCGCGUAGGGCUUUUGCCCGGGCGAAGGUGCACUGGGCGAAGCUGGACGCCGUAAAGCUGGUGAAGGAGGGGCUGCCGGAAGGCAAGGAGCAUCAACACCCCGAAAUGUAUUAUGACAGUGUCCUGAAGGGUUCCCGCCUUGUGGCGGAGGAAUGUGCUAAGGAUGUAAUAUUCGAAUGAAUGUACUCAUGUGAUCCUGUAAUGUGAAACGAGUUCAUUUGUGCUGUGCAACGCUUGUUAAUUUAAAAUAUUACCUUCUGUGCGGUCGUUUAUGAAAUCUGAGGGUUGGCCAGUCGUCGGUUUCUGCCCCCAUGUAACUAGUACUGGGGUGUUCGGGGUAAACCUGAACACUCUUUAUCCCAAUUUUCGGUCCUUCGAAGGAGGUGUUCAGCACAUCGAACCAGGCAAUCGGACUAUAAAGCUUUAUCACCCUCACUUAGCCAUAGAAGUCUACAAUUUUAAAUUUUGGCGAAGCCCCUAGUAUUCGGAAGGCCGAAUUUGGGGCGCUAUAUACGCCUAAGUCGGGCAAGGCCGACUCCUCGCCCGAAGCGGAAAAAGUUUUUAAGGACUUGAGACCUCGUGAACAGCGACCAGCUCUCGCCUCAUCGUGACAGUCAGUUUUCGGCUUUCUCUACUGAGGUGCUCGUCCGGAAGAACCGGGACACAAUCGCAGUAGUUCUCCCAGCGCUACCUUAGCCGAUUUUGCGGAACAUAAGGUACCAAAACAUGGGAGCCGGGCAAACCCAACUAUCGACCCAAGACAUGAUUCGGAGCUGAUGCAUAUAAUGCUAUAAGUUCGGGGUGCCGCACUGUCGAAAGUGUUCGGACUUCUCACGCCGUAUUAUGGGGUAUGCUGAAGCCCCUGGCGUACUAGUCGUACUAGAAUGUACGGGUGCAAUCUGUCGUAAUUAAGCAGACAAGAGAAAGAAAAAAAAGAAAGGGUAAUGCAAUAAUAGGCUAACGCUACGCAUUGUUAUUAAAUAGUACGUCAAAGCGUACGGAUACAAGUAGUGCAAUAAGAAAAAAAAAGACUAUUUGACAUGUCCUAUCCAAGGGCAAGCUGCGUAUGGGUAUUUAAAACAGGUAUUUCGAUCGUUAGCAGAGACCACCUGGGGAUUCCCUUGUACGUCAGAGCUUCUUGCUUCCUUGGUAUUUUCUUCUCGUAGUGCAUCCAGCAAUCAGACUACCGAAAAGGGGUUCCAGAGAGUAAGGUCCUGAAAGAGAAAAUGAUGAAGGUAUACGGCUCCUGGGGCGGUUGAGCCGCAUUGUGGGACGUGCCGUAGUGGUGCCUCCGCCGAUGCCCAUGGUAUCUUGAGUGCGUAGUUAUGUACGCGUGGCACGAAUCUCGCCACUUGACUGGGACUAGGACGGAGGCCGAAUUGCUAGUCGAGCUCAAAAUGUGCCUGUCGAUCCGCCUGCGGGGUACUCCGGACUCGCUUGAAGGUGUCCGGGGUCUUUUUCGCCGAAUUGGCGGUUUGCCUAAUAAGGCAGCUUUGCACUUCUGCUGCGAGGGCCGCAGUGUGCUCCUCCGUGCGGAGCGAGCGCUCUGUGUUUCCAUUGACUGUUAUUACCCCACGAGGUCCUGGCAUUUUGAGCUUGAGGUAUGUAUAAUGCGGUACCGCAUUGAAUCUUGCAAAUGCGGUUCGCCCGAGCAGUGCGUGAUAGCCACUACGGAACGGGACGAUAUCGAAGAUUAACUCCUCGCUUCGGAAGUUGUCCGGAGAUCCGAAGACCACAUCCAGUGUGAUUGAGCCCGUGCAAUGGGCCUCUACACCUGGGAUGACGCCUUUAAAGGUGGUUUUAGUGGGUUUGAUCCUCGAGGGGUCUAUACCCAUUUUACGCACUGUAUCCUGAUAGAGCAGGUUCAGGCUGCCGCCGCCGUCCAUAAGGACUCGAGUGAGGUGAAAUCCGUCAAUGAUGGGGUCGAGGACCAAUGCGGCAGAUCCGCCAUGACGGAUACUAGUGGGGUGGUCCCUCGAUCGAAGGUGAUCGGACAAGAGGACCAUGGGUUGAACUUUGGGGCGACAGGCUCCAUCGCAUAGACGUCCCUUAGUGCAUGCUUCCGUUCCCUCUUGGGAAUGUGGGUCGCGUAUAUCAUGUUCACCGUUUUCACUUGUGGGGGGAACCUCUUCUGUCCUCCCGUGUUCGGCGGCCGGGGCUCCUCCUCGUCGUCGCUAUGCAGCCCCUUGUCCUUGUUUUCGGCAUUCAACUUGCCGGCCUGCUUGAACACCCAGCAUUCUCUGUUGGUGUGAUUGGCUGGCUUAUCGGGGGUGCCGUGAAUUUGACAUGAUCGAUCGAGUAUGCGGUCCAAACUGGACGGGCCCGGAGUACCUCUUUUGAAUGGCUUUUUCCGCUGACCGGAUUUAGAGCCACUGAAUCCGGCAUUGACUGCCGUAUCUUCGGCGUUAUCGCCAUUGUUGCGGCGCUUAUGUCUGUUACGACGUGGUCUGUCGUUAGUAUCUUUGGUAGCUGAAGUGCCCGGAUUCCUUGAUGUGUUGUUGCUGCGAGCCAGCCAGCUAUCCUCGCCCGCGCAAAAGCGGGUCAUGAGUGUCGUGAGGGCUGCCAUAGACUUCGGCUUCUCCUGGCCGAGGUGUUGGGCGAGCCACUCGUCACGGAUGUUAUGCUUGAAUGCCGCUAAGGCCUCUGCAUCCGGACAGUCGACAAUUUGGUUUUUCUUAGUUAGGAACCUGGUCCAGAAUUUCCUGGCCGAUUCCCCUGGCUGCUGAAUUAUAUGGCUCAAGUCAUCAGCAGCUGGUGGCCGCACAUAAGUACCCUGGAAGUUGUGAAGGAAUGCAUCUUCCAAAUCCUCCCAACUGCCAAAAUGGAGUCUGCUGGCAAGCUAUUCGGCCAAUGCCGAGCUGGUCCUUUGAGUUUUAGUGGGAGGUACUUGAUGGCAUGUAGAUCAUUACCGCGAGCCAUGUGGAUGUGGAGGAGGAAGUCCUCGAUCCAUACCACGGGGUCUGUUGUACCAUCAUAUGAUUCAAUAUUUACGGGUUUAAAACCCUCUGGGAAUUCGUGAUCCAUUAUUUCAUCAGUGAAGCAUAGGGGGUGUGCGGCGCUGAUACGUCUCCAACGUAUCUAUAAUUUUUGAUUGCUCCAUGCUAUAUUAUAGGGGGUGUGAAGCAUAGGAAGUGUGAGUAGUUUACCUCAGACCUUCGGGUCCAUAGUUAGUAGCUAGAUGGCUUCUUCUCUCUUUUUGGAUCUCAAUACAAUGUUCUCCCCCUCUCUCAUGGAGAUCUAUUCGAUGUAAUCUUCUUUUUGCGGUGUGUUUGUUGAGACCGAUGAAUUGUGGGUUUAUGAUCAAGAUUAUCUAUGAACAAUAUUUGAAUCUUCUCUGAAUUCUUUUAUGUAUGAUUGGUUAUCUUUGCAAGUCUCUUCGAAUUAUAAGUUUGGUUUGGCCUACCAGAUUGAUCUUUCUUGCAAUGGGAGAAGUGCUUAGCUUUGGGUUCAAUCUUGCGGUGUCCUUUCCCAGUGACAGUAGGGGCAGCAAGGCACGUAUUGUAUUGUUGCCAUCGAGGAUAACAAGAUGGGUUUUUUAUCAUAUUGCAUGAAUUUAUCCCUCUACAUCAUGUCAUCUUGCUUAAGGCAUUACUCUGUUUCCAUGAACUUAAUACUCUAGAUGCAUGCUGGAUAGCGGUCGAUGAGUGGAGUAAUAGUAGUAGAUGCAGGCAGGUGUCGGUCUACUUGUCUCGGACGUGAUGCCUAUAUACAUGAUCAUACCUAAAUAUUCUCAUAACUAUGCUCAAUUCUGUCAAUUGCUCAACAGUAAUUCGUUCACCCACCGUAAAAUACUUAUGCUCUUGAGAGAAGCCACUAGUGAAACCUAUGGCCCCCGGGUCUAUCUUCAUCAUAUUAAUCUUCCAACACUUAGUUAUUUCCUUUGCUUUUAUUUUACUUUGCAUCUUUAUCACAAAAAUACCAAAAAUAUUAUCCUAUCAUAUCUAUCAGAUCUCACUCUCGUAAGUGACCGUGAAGGGAUUGACAACCCCUUAUCGCGUUGGUUGCGAGGAUUUAUUUGUUUUGUGUAGGUGCGAGGGACUCGGGCGUAGCCUCCUACUGGAUUGAUACCUUGGUUCUAAAAAACUGAGGGAAAUACUUAUGCUAGUUUGCUGCAUCACCCUUUCCUCUUCAAGGGAAAACCAACGCAGUGCUCAAGAGGUAGCAAGAAGGAUUUCUGGCGCCGUUGCCGGGGAGGUCUACGCAAAAGUCAACAUACCAAGUACCCAUCACAAAUCCCUUAUCUCCCGCAUUACAUUAUUUGCCAUUUGCCUCUCGUUUUCCUCUCCCGCACUUCACCCUUGCCGUUUUAUUCGCCCUCUCUUUUUCAUUCACCUCUUUUUCGCUUGCUUGUCGUUAUGGCUAGUCCUCUAUCUUCUCCGUUGUCUCCCGAGGAUGAAGUUCUAAAUUUUAAACAAAGGGAGGGAGAAAAUCUAAAAGAUUCUUGGUAUAGAAUUUGCAAUGCUCAAAAUAGAUAUGCCAGGAAGCAAUCUACUUCCGUUCUUCUCCGCAAUUUUUAUGUAGGCGCUAAUCCUUGGUAUAGAUAUAUUCUUGAUACCAUUACCGGAGGGAAUUUCUUGGGUAGCCAUACUUUUGACUCUUAUAAUGCUAUGAUAGAUUUAUUUGGCUCACCACCUCUUUUGGUUAAUGGAACUAUGUUAACUUUGGAGCAUGUAAUGCAAAGACUUGAAAUUAUUGAAAAUAAAGUUGCUACCGUAGAGUUAAUUGAAAAUCUGGAUAAAAAGAUCCACAACCAAAUUACCCAAUAUGGAUCUAAGGUAGGAUUCACUUUGAAAAAUAUUAAGGAGAAGGAACCCAUAGUUAAUGAGAGAAUAAAUCAAGAUUCCACUAGAAUCGAUAAACUUGAGGGUAUCAUUACCAACUUGGGAACCAAUUUUUCUUCUGUAAAGAAUACUCCAAAUCCUCCUACUAAAAUUCCCAAGCUUAUGUAUGUUCCUAAAAAUAAGGGUGAAUCCUCUAGUAAGGAAACUGCGGAUCUCAAAUCUAUAAGUAUUCAUCCCAAUCUUUUUGCCUUCAUUAAGGAACCAUUUGCUACGAAUGAAGUUUUCGAUCUUGUGCCUAAAAGUUUGAUAAUUACUAAAAAUAAAGAAAUUCCUAAGGAUGAUAGAUGUCUCAUUGAAGAAUUGCCUACCAAAGAUGGCAAUACCUAGAUCUAUCCUUGCUUUUAUGCCUAACUAGGGGCGUUAAACGAUAGCGCUUGUUGGGAGGCAACCCAAUUUUAUUUUUAGUUUUUUGCUUUUUGCUUCUGUUUAGGAAUAAAUAUUUGAUCUAGCCUCUGGUUAGAUGUGUUUUUAUGUUUCAAUUAGUGUUUGUGCCAAGUUAAACCUAUAGGAUCUUCUUGGAUGAUAGUUAUUUGAUCUUGCUGUAAUUUCCAGAAACUUUCUGUUCACAAAAAUAAUUGUUAAAAAUCACCAGAACGUGAUAAAAUAGUGAUUCCAAUUGCUGCUGAUCAAUAAACAAAUUGCCUAGGUCUUCCUAUUUUUGCUGAUUUUUUGGAGUUCCAGAAGUUUGCGUUAGUUACAGAUUACUACAGACUGUUCUGUUUUUGACAGAUUCUGUUUUUCGUGUGUUCUUUGCUUAUUUUGGUGAAUCUAUGGCUAGUAAAAUAGUUUAUAAACCAUAGAGAAGUUGGAAUACAGUAGGUUUAACACCAAUAUAAAUAAAGAAUGGGUUCAUUACAGUACCUUGAAGUGGUCUUUUGUUUUCUUUCGCUAACGGAGCUCACGAGAUUUCUGUUAAGUUUUGUGUUGUGAAGUUUUCAAGUUUUGUGUUGUGAAGUUUUCAAGUUUUGGGUGAAAGAUUUUUGAUGGAUUAUGGAACAAGGAGUGGCUAGAGCCUAAGCUUGGGGAUGCCCAUGGCACCCCCAAGAUAAUCUAAGGACACCAUAAAGCCAAAGCUUGGGGAUGCCCCGGAAGGCAUCCCCUCUUUCGUCUACUUCCAUCGGUAACUUUACUUGGAGCUAUAUUUUUAUUCACCACAUGAUAUGUGUUUUGCUUGGAGCGUCUUGUAUGAUUUGAGUCUUUGCUUUUUAUUUUACCACAAUCAUCCUUGCUGUACACACCUUUUGAGAGAGCCAAACAUGAUUUGGAAUUUUGUUAGAAUACUCUAUGUGAUUCGCUUAUAUCUUUUGAGUUAUAUAGUUUUGCUCUAGUACUUCACUUAUAUCUUUUAGAGCACGGUGGUGGAUUUGUUUUAUAGAAACUAUUGAUCUCUCAUGCUUCACUUAGAUUAUUUUGAGAGUCUUAUAUAGCAUGGUAAUUUGCUUAAAUAAUCCUAAUAUGCUUGGUAUUCAAGAUUAGUAAAAACUUUCUUAUGAGUGUGUUGAAUGCUAAGAAAAGUUUGAUGCUUGAUAAUUGUUUUGAGAUAUAAAGAUGGUGAUAUUAGAGUCAUGCUAGUUGAGUAGUUGUGAAUUUGAGAAAUACUUGUGUUAAAGUUUGUGAUUCCCGUAGCAUGCACGUAUGGUGAACCAUUAUGUGAUGAAGUCGGAGCAUGAUUUAUUUAUUGAUUGUCUUCCUUAUGAGUGGCGGUCGGGGACGAGCGAUGGUCUUUUCCUACCAAUCUAUCCCCCUAGGAGCAUGCGCGUAAUACUUUGCUUUGAUAACUUGUACAUUUUUGCAA
Molecule: long non-coding RNA, 66280 nt
Filed under: Triticum aestivum (bread wheat)
Lineage: Eukaryota; Viridiplantae; Streptophyta; Magnoliopsida; Poales; Poaceae
Description: long non-coding RNA (TAES_LNC024809)
Source: RNAcentral